This 70098-nucleotide long non-coding RNA is filed under the name Cucumis sativus (cucumber). RNAcentral describes it as "long non-coding RNA (CSAT_LNC002780)". Lineage: Eukaryota; Viridiplantae; Streptophyta; Magnoliopsida; Cucurbitales; Cucurbitaceae. The record is from RNAcentral.
CACCACUACCUACCCCAAUUUCCAUUUGGGGAGAUCUCCCAAUUGAUUUCGUGCUCGGACUGCCCAAGACCCAAAGACAGUAUGACUCAGUCAUGGUUGUAGUUGACAGAUUCAGCAAGAUGACACACUUUGUAGCCUGCAAAAAGACAAAUGACGCCACCUACAUAGCUAAUCUCUUCUUUCGAGAGAUAGUACGGCUGCAUGGAAUACCAAAUACCAUUGUUUCUGAUCGGGAUGUCAAAUUCCUAAGCCAUUUCUGGAAGACAUUAUGGAACAAAUUUGACACAACCUUGAAAUAUAGCACAACAGCACACCCUCAAAUAGUUGGCCAAACAGAGGUUACAAACAGGACCCUUGGCAACUUAAUACGCUGUCUCAGUGGAUCCAAACCAAAGCAGUGGGACUUAGCUCUUGCUCAGGCAGAAUUCGCCUUCAACAAUAUGAAGAAUAGAUCAACCAGCAAAUGUCCAUUUGAGGUUGUAUUCACGAAACAACCAAGGCUAACCUUUGACCUAGCAUCACUCCCCGCAACUAUGGACACUAGCUCAGAAGCAGAAAAGAUGGUAGAAAAUAUUCAGAACUUACAUGAAGAGGUCCACAGUCACCUAAAAGAAUCAACUCAGUUCUACAAAGAGGCAGCAGACAGAAAGAGAAGACAAGCUACCUUUACUGAGGGAGAUUUAGUAAUGAUUCACCUUAGAAGAAACCGAUUCCCAACUGGAACAUACAACAAACUGAAAGACAGACAAUUAGGACCAUUUUGUGUCCUAAAGAAGAUCAGAGAUAACGCUUACAAAAUAGAACUACCACCAGACUUACACAUUCAUCCUAUUUUUAAUGUAGUAGACCUAAAACAGUACUAUGCCCCAGAUGAUUUCUAUGCUAGGGGGGUGGAAUGAUGUAAUAAGAUAGUUAGUUUGUUGUCAAGACAGUUAGAUAGUUAGUCUGUUAUAUUCUGUUGUUAGUUGAAACUAAUCAGCUGUUUAAAACUGAUUAGUUACCCCAAACUACCAAAAUUGAUUGUAACUACCACAUACUUCAUCAAUAAAUAGCCAUUCUCCAGCUGAGAAUAGGCAGAGAAUUCAUUUGAGAAAUUAGUUCUACCUUGAUUUACAUUACAUGACAUACCUCCCAGCUAGUUGAUAUUUGCUUUUGUGGUGCACAUUACUUGUCGUCUUUCUCAGAAUCUUUUGGCAGCCUGGUUUCUGUUUUUUCUGUUAGAAAACUGUUGAAGUGCAGUUUCUUCACUUUAGUUUUUGUAACAUUUUUUCCCUUGUACUUUUCUUGUUUCAAGGAUUCCUUUUUCUUUUAAUUUAUUUAAUUUUAAUUUUUUUUAUUUUAAGUCACUGGACAUUAGGAGCUCCAUCUGCUUUAUUUUGUUGGUUGUUUUUCAAUGUGGUCUUCACUGAACUUUUUAAAAUAUAAGAAAGAAGAUGUAUUGGAAACCAAAACAUUACAGCAGUUCAAUACUGGAUUUAAAAUAUGUUAGAACCGAACUAUAUAUUCUCAUAACAAGUCUCUAUUUAUGAGUAUUGAAAGCAAUAAACAGGAAACCAAGACUUACGUGGAAACUCAAGUACUGUGAGAAAAACCACGAUAUUGUUGUUUUUAUUAUUUUCUUAUGAAUUAUUCAAUUGGUACAAUAAGGGAGAAUAAAUAGAAUACACAAAGGAAUAAAAAAGGAAAAGAUUUAGACAUUAGGGUAAAUAUUUCCCUAAUCUUUCCAUAAAUAUCCAAAGGGCCAAGCCCACUAAUUCUAACAAUGAGCGAUCCAGUAUAUUUAUUACUUACAUUCACAGGUUUAGUAGGUAUUGGCAAUCUCUAAUUUCAUUGCUAUUCCUCAUUUUUCAUGUUCUACAGAUGACCAAGCAUCCGGUUCUACUACUUUCCAACCAAGAACGAGUGCUAAGAAAUUUUAUAUUCCAGCGAGACUAGUGAUUGGCAAUGAUGAGUAUGUGAUUUAUUUAAACUAAUGCAUGUUUCGAGUAUGUGCAUGGAUAUUAGAUGAACAGUAUACUUGUGUAAUAUCACUAUAAUUUUUGUUUUUUCUGUAUAAACAAAAAUGCAGAUUUUAGUACUUCAUUUUCAUAGACAUAAAAGUUUCGAGACAAUUGUGCUACUAACGUUCUUGUAAUUGACUCUGAAUGACUGGUAGGUAUGUUAAGAUUGGAAAAGGCAAUCAAUUGGUCCGAAAUCCAAAAAGAAGAGCACGCAUACUGGCAAGUGAGAAAAUUCGAUGGAGUUUGCACACUGCGAGACAGCGGCUGGCUAAGAAGCGGAUGUACUGUCAAUUUUUCACAAGAUUUGGUAAAUGUAACAAAGAUGGUGGCAAGUGCCCUUAUAUUCACGACACUUCCAAGAUUGCAGUCUGCACAAAAUUUCUCAAUGGUUUAUGUUCUAACGCAAGCUGCAAAUUGACUCAUAAGGUUCACUAAUUGAACUGAUGAAUCUUUUCUUGCGUAAGCUUUAGUUUUGUUAAUGGUCAAAUGUCGAUAACCUUUCAUCUCAAUUUUUGAUCCUCACAGGUGAUUCCAGAAAGGAUGCCUGAUUGUUCAUACUUUUUACAGGGUACUUCUCAAACUUUAACUUCUCCAAAAAAAGAAAAAAUAUUUAUAGGACUCCAGGUUUAUAAGGACUUCUUGACAGGUUUAUGCAGCAGCAAAAAUUGUGCUUAUAGACAUGUAAAUGUGAACUCAAAGGUUCCUACUUGCGAGGCUUUCCUUAGGGGCUAUUGUGCUCUGGGAAACGAGGUAAUCUCCACUUUUCAAACAUUAUUUUCUGGCUACUUAACAUGAAGCACUUGCACAUUUAUUUAAUUUAGUCUUAACUCUUAACAAAUAUGCUGCAAAUUUUCUGGUCAAACACAUUGUUUGCUCCCUGAAACGAAACUCCCUGAAAAUCUUCAAUUUUUGCAAGUGUGCUUCUUGAUACUGGUGACCCUUCCUGACCGAGGACCCAAUAAUUUUUUCCGGUGGCGGAUGCUGAAAAAUAGUUCAAAAGAUAUUUUGUUGACUGUUUCUCAGAAAUGCUUUUAUCUUACUUCUAAAUUUGCUCCUUUAGACGCCAUUUGAAUUUUUAAAGACAAUAUCAAGUUUUUAACUCAAUAAUAUGUCGUGUGUAACUGUAAAUUGUGAAUCUAAUGAAACCUGGAACCUAAUUGUUCAGUGCCGUAAGAAGCACAGUUAUGUGUGCCCCUUGUUAGAAGCAACAGGAACAUGCCCGGAUAGAUCAACAUGCAAACUUCACCAUCCUAAACGACAAACUAAAGGAAGGAAAAGGAAGCGAUUGGAAGGGAGGAAUAAUGAUCAAGGACGCUACUUCGGUUCUACGAAUCAGGAUGUUUCUAGAUCUAGAUUGGUGGUGAGUGAGAAGCAGCUUCCUGUUAAAUCAAGUGACCCUUUUCUUGAAGAUCUGACAGAUUAUAUCAGCCUUGAUGUCGGCAGUGAUGAAGAUAUUGAAGAAAGUCGUGACUCGACAAGCCAGACUACGUCCUUUAGUCAAGGUUACCUCUCUGAGUUAUUGUUAGAAGAUCCCGACGAGCUAAUCAAACCAAUUCGGGUAAUGAAUGAGAAUUUGACUGUGCAGUAGUUGGCAAACUGAGUUGCUUGCUCCUUCCUCGUUAGGAGCAAGGUUUGUGUCCGUUCUCUCACCAUUAAGGUUUAACAGAAUCACAGUUUAGUUUAGUUUUAGUUUUAGUUUUAGUUUUAGUUUAGUUUUUUUUUUCUUUCUUUGUUUAGUUUAGUUUCAGCUUCUUCUAGUUGCAGAAAUCUGGAUAACUCCGUUUCUGCCAUUACUGUAAAUAGACAUUUAAAUUUGACAGGAAUGAAAUGAUUUUGUAUGAAAAGCUAAAAUAUUCUUUUUUAUUUUUUUUCUCUCUUCCAUAACACUUACCUAGGGUAACUAUUGUCUUCAUCCAAACUUUAUUUUUACUCCAUUCUGUUUAUUCUCUCUUUCUUUUUUAUUGAUGUUUUCAAAUAUGAACCUAACAUUGUAAAAUUUCAGAUAUUUUCAUGAAAUUUUGUGAUAGUUCUACCAUUUAUAAUAAUUCUUUUUUAUUCUCUUUGGUUUUAUUAAUAAUUAUUUCUAUUUUAUACCAUAUAUCUUCAAAAUUUCUUCAACUGUCUAUAAAAGGUUUAUAUUAUUUGUCAUCAAUUAUUUUAUUGUGUAUGGAUAUGUAUUGAAUUUUAUUCUUUUGAAUGAUGUGUGUAUGUUGGGUUUCACAAAAAGUUUAAGUAAAGGCGUUUUAGGUUUAGUCACAAAGUUAGUUUAUAAACUAAUUUGAAAUAGUUUUCUGAUUUUAAAAAGUAGCUAAUAUGCUCGUAAACCUAAUAAAAUAUUUAUUUGAAAUUAACUAAUUGUUACGUGAGAUUAGUCAAUUAACCUUACAAUAAACUCAAAAACUUCCAAAUGCCACUUUUAUUCGCAUAUAUUUUUUAAUUUUAUUCGAAAUAAAAAUAUCAAUAAAGAAUAGAAUUAAAAAAAGGAGACGUUAAUAGAUAUUUUUAUAUAAUUUCUUACAUUAUAAUAUUUACAUCAUUAAACAUGAACCGAUUGAGGUCGGAUACUAUUUUGUUGCUAUGGAUGUUUCGUGAACAACGUCAUGGACCGCUGGUUUUGUGAGUAAUCCAUUAUUGAAAUGUAAAGUUUGAGAAAGCAUGAAGAUUAAGAAUCUGUUUGGAUUGAAUUAGAAACAAAAUAUUUUUCAAAAAUACAUUUUCUUUUAACACUUUCUUGAAAAUGAGUUUAAAUUUAAACACUUACAUGUUUGGUUAGACUUUUUUAUAAGUGUUUAUAUGUAAAUUUUAUUUAAUUUCUAUAUACCAAAAAUGUUUUAUACUUAACUUAAAGAACUACUAAAUACGAUCAUCUAAUUUCAUAAAAAACACAUAUAUUUUAAUUUUAAAAAAGAAAUAUGCUUUGAAAUUAAUCACACUAUAUAUUGGAACUAAUUAUUUUAAAAUUUUGAAAUUUGUAAAGUUAGAACUAAAAACAUUUUUUUUUAUUAAUUUUUAUUUUAGGACUAGAAGUAUAUUGAUAUUUAAAUUGAUAAACAAGAUAUUUAUUUAUUUAUUUAUUCUUUUAAAAAAUAAAUAAAAGAAAUUAAUAAUACCUUCCGAAAUAAACACACAAAUGAUAAUAACCACGUAAUCUGCACCGAAGCGGCCCCCUUGGGAGAAAAAGAAAACUGCAGAAAGGAAAUUCCAAAGAGGGCAGACUGGCGGUAGCAGAAAGAAAGAAGAAGACUAAGGCAUUUAGGGCAAAGCUUUGAACAUUCAUAUUCCUCAUAACAAUGCCGGUGGAAUGAAUCGCUUCUAAGGGAACAUCCCACGGGGUACCCACACCUUUCAUCGAAGAACUACUGAAGUUCGAAGUUUUCUUACGCGAUUUUUCUGCUUUUUGAUUCAAUGGUUGACGGGAGUACUGGAAUGCAUUUUCCCGAUCAUCGGUUGGAUAGGUCAUUGUGUCAAAGUUUUUGUCACGGAAUUGUGGAGGGGGUGUCUGGGGUGGAAGAAUGUGACAAGGACUAUCUGAAUUUCUUAAAUGAUUUGACGUACGGUGUGGACAGUAAUGAUGAGAACGUUGAUGCUUAUCUUGAGGAUGGUGAUAAUUCGACUUCACACUUUAACUGGUCGGAUAAAAAAGUUGAUCCUGUUUAUAGGAUGUUUUUUCACCAUUUGAUCGGAGAUGGGAAAGCUUAUAAGCUUGAAAUUCCAUCGGUUAAUGGGAUGAAAGUGUAUGCUGUGAAGUACGAGGAACAGGAACAAGAACAAUCAAGUCUUAAUAGAAAAAGACCUGGAACUACCAGGAUCUUAAGGAGUGAUUCAAAGAGAAUGAAGAUAGAGAGCCAACCUAAAAAAAGCCCGGUUUUUUCAUUUGAAAAAGAGUUCAAUGUGGAUUGUGCAAAAUCUAUUGAUGGAAAUUCAAGCACAAUCCCCGGUGCACUUCCUCGUUCUGCUAAGCAUCUUUUCCAAUCCAAUUCUGACUCGAAUUUGAUAGAUGAAGACUACAAGACAUUUUUGAAUGAUUCCUUUUAUGAUGAUGAUCAUACAUUGACAUAUACGCCAGUGGACGGUAGGUCAAUUGUCUAUGAGGACGGUGAAAGUAUCUCUGAUUCAGAAGUGCUGAUGUUUGAGACUGAUCCAUGUAAGCAAAACCGUCGUUCCUUUGGGAGAAAAUAUUCUUGUUUUACUGUGAGUAUAUCUAAUUCCGGUGCUAUGAUCUCUCUGUAUUCUAAUGAGGAAUGAUAUCUGUUUCUGUCUGUUCUUUGCCUAUAUUAGUUAUUCUAUGUCUUACAUUGAUAGAUUUCUCUCUUUCCAGGUGGACGUAGAUAGUGGGAAGUGUCUUAGUCUUGGUAGACGUACUGGUUCCAAUUUCAGGGAAAGGCUCAUGAAAGUUCUUAAAAGUCCAUACGACGAACGUCAGUAUGACUAUUAUCUUGAUGAAGUAAGUCGUCGUCGGCCACAAGUGCGUCAUAGAGAGUUACGUAGUCGAGUGCUAAAAGCAUAUCAACUGGAUUCUUACGGCAAAUCAUAUCUUCAUAUCCAUAGUGGUGAGUUUUCUUAAUCCAAUUGUAAUUUUCUUUUGAAAUUAUAUUGACUGGAUUUUUUUGUUAUCAAUUACCAUUCUUCUUCAGUGUGUUCAAAGGUACCUGAGGAACAUAUUUCCUGUAGACUUUCAUCCUUAGAGAGGAUCUUCUUACCCUGAUCUGAUACUUUUAUCAGAUUUUACUUUCAUAGUUUGCUGCAAUAUUUUCUCGUUAUUAAAGAUAAAAUAGUUCUUCAGUAUUCUGACUUUCAAAGAACUAAUAAAUGUUAGAAGAAACCAUGAGUGAUUUUCUACUACUAACAUGGUAUCUACUCGAUCCAUCUACUAUGUCACACCAUUUUGAAAUGUUUUGAUGUGACGACAUGAAAUUUUUUUCAUACUAACAUAGUACUAGAUGUUGGCCCACGGAACUACCUUCUAGCUUGAUGUGAUGAAUGUUUUAUCUUAGAAAGUGUUAAAGUAACCUUUUUGACAUGUCCUAUUGUUUGUCAAAUAGAUAUCUGAUUUACUCUUGCUUUUUUUCGGUUCAUUAAUUUAUUUGCAUGAUGUUUGUUAUUACCGGUGUGAGGUUCUAUAUACUAAUAGUAUCUCCUAUGUUUUCUUACUGCAGAGCUUGCUACGAAAAUCCAAGCAGUUCAAUAUGAUCGCCUUAGAACUUUGACUCUACUGCGUGGCUUCUUCUAUUGGUUGCAGGUAGUUUUUAUAUUAAUUUAGCACAAAUUUUUAUUUCAGUAGACAUUUUUAAAGAAUGUCUCAAUGGUUAAGCAGCAUUUCCUCUCUUAAAAGGUCGGAAAUAUUAUUGUUGAACUUGAAAAAAUAGUCAUUUUUAGCAAUGAGUAGGGAUGACACGAAAGUGAAAUGAAGUUUUCUCACCAGCCAGUUCUUUGUUUUUUUUUUUCAAACUGAAACAAGUAGUUUUAUUAGAGAUCAGGAAGAGGCACAAGCUCAAGCUCAGUGUACAAGAGAGUUAUACAAGAGCUUACUAGAUAACUAGAACAAGAGGCAAAAUAAAAACUAAACAAAGGAGGUAAGCUAAAUUACACAAGACAGUAAAAUCAUAAGUGCAAAACUCAUUGGGGCAGAAUCAAGCUGGAGAAAUGAAAGCGUUCCAAUUAAGUUAAGAUGUUGAAUGCUGUAGCUGCUGAAAAUCUUUGAGUUCGAACACCAGGAGGAGGCAUUACAAUGAGCUAUAUCAAAGCGGUUCGUCCAAUCACCUGAUUUGUCAUGGAACACCUUUUGAUUCCUUUCAAACCAAAUUUCUGCCAAUAAAGCAUUCACCGGGUUUACCCAUAGUAAAGGAGCUUCUUUAUUUAGCUGGAGACCGCUUUGUUAAAGCAUCACAUUAUCACAAAAAGAUGCUCCAAGCGCCCAUGACAAAUUAAAGAUUUUAAACAGCCUUUUCCAAAAGUUGGCCAAAAACUUACAGAGGAAGAACAAGUGUUGGGAAUCUUCUGCAUGGUGUAGACAGUGGGCAAAUGGAGGGAGAGAGGCAACUAUUAGGUAGCUUACGUUGUAAAACUGAGAAGACAUUCAAUUGCUCUAUCAAUGUUAUCCAAACAAUGAUACUUGAUAAUGCAGAGCCCCAGUGAUCAGUAACCGAACCAUUGUGAAAUAAUGUUAUUCGGAACAACCGUGGAAAUGUUAAAAUGAAGAGUUGACACACCCUUCCAUGGAUCUAACCAAAAAGCUAUCCUUCUCCAUUUCUCAAUCUAAAGGUGGCCAAAGCUUCUAUUUUCAACCAGGUUCUGGCUAUACUCAUCCAAGGGCAUCUCGAGCAAAUGCCUUCUUUUCCGACAAUGUGCUAAUUAAAAGAGCCUUUGUCGUGGAUGCUCCUGAUAAACCUUUCACCCCCAUUUGGCUAGAGAGCCAAGUUUUUUAUUUUAGGGGACCGAGGCCUCCAUCCAAAGAAGAUUUAUUGACCAUUUUCCAAUUGACAAGGUGGCUUAAUUUACUGCCCUUAUGACCCUCCCAAAAGAAAUUCCUCAGAAUUCUUUCCAAUUUUGAAGAGACUCCUUCUGGCAAUAGAAAUGUAGACGUGUAGUAAGUGGGAAUAUUUAAAAGGGCAGAUUUAUAGAGGGUAGCUCGACCCCCUCUCGAAAGGUUAAACCUCUUCCAUUUAUCUAACUUUAUUUGGACUUUAUCAAGCACUGGUUGCCAAAAAGAGGAAAGUUUGGUGUACCCCCCUAACGGCAAUCUGAGGUAGAUCAAAGGGAGGUGAUCUACCUUGUACCCCAAAGAGGAUGCGGUGGACAACAAAUCCAUUUCUUACACAUUGAUCCCACAUAAUGUCAACUCGUCCCAGUUCACUUUUUGGCCGGAGCACCAUUCAAAAAGCUUUAUUGUCUGUUUCAAAUUUUCUAACAUGUUGUCAUAUUUGCAAAAUAGAAGGGUAUCAUCCUUAAAUUGGAGGAUAGGAACGUGAAUCUUAUCCAUUCCCACUACAAAACCUUCAUAAAAGCCAUUCUGGUGUAGAUUUUCAAUUAGUGUACCAAGGACUUCACCUACAAGUAGAAAAAGGAAAGGUGAAAGAGGGUUGCCUUGUCUAAUUCCCCUGAUGGCCAACACUCUUCCUCUUGGCCUGUCAUUGAUAGAAACUGAAUAUCUCGGGCUCUUGACACAACCCUGGAUCCUCUCAAUCCACUUGUGGUCGAACUUUUUGCUUCUCAUGAUUUUUUCGAGGAAAUCCAGUCAAUCCUAUCAAAUGCUUUUUCCAGAUCAAUCUUGAGAAGCCAACCUUUCUUUUUCUUUGCCCGGUACUUCUCAACAAUUUCAUUAGCUACAAGGAUUGGCUUGAGUAUUUGCCUUCCUUCUAUGAAUGCACUUAGCGUGGGGUAAGGAUACUUGGCAUUACCUUUUUAAGUCUUUCAGCUAGCAGUAGCACUUUGGCGAUUACCUUGUAGGUUAAGGUUGUAAGACUGAUUGACCUGGAUUUGAUGGCUACUGCAUUUCUUUUACCCUAAACCCUCCCUAGACCCUAGACCCUAGACCCGGAUCAACCAGAUGAAUUCUCCUACAAGCAAACAUUCAAUUUCCAUUCCUAUAAAAACCCUCAAAAACCGAGAUGAAGUUUAAUUUAAUUUGACUAAAUUCCAAUGCCUAAUUAAGAAUUCAGCCGGAAAGCUGUCGGGACGAGGUUUGAGGGGAUACAUCUUGGGCCAGGGCUUUCGGAGAAAAGCGUAGCAUAAAACUCCAGAAUCAGGCUUUCAAUUUCUCUGAAGGAAUUGGUAGGCUCCCCAAGAUCAUUAUCUCAGCAAUCGGGUUUUUCCUUUUUUAACUGUGAGAAAUCUGUGGAAGAAGCUGGUGUUUUCAUCCCCUAAGCGGAUCCAAUUCAACUUUCUUUUCUGAAUUAGAUUCAUCUCCUCAAUUUUGUGUAAGGACAUCAAUUCCGCCUUCAAUGAAGAUCUGGAUUCUAGUUCAAAUUCAGAAAGAAGAAAUGAGUCUGCCAUAGCAUCCCGCAUUUCAAUUUCCCGAGUCAGUUCUUCUUCUCUUGUCUGUUUUUUCUGAACUCCAGCUAGGCCGCCCUUCUCAACUUGUCACUAAGUACAAAAUCUGUCCAGCCUUCAGAACCACUGUUAGUCCAUGCUCCUUCAACUGCCAAAUUACACUCGUAGUUGCAUGAUCCGAAGAGGGAGGGCCCCCAAGUAAAUGAUCCGGCCUCAAGCAGAAUGGGUAAGUGGUCUGAGAAUAAACGAGCUUGCCUAGAAGCUCUUGUGUUUCGAAUUCAUCAUCACAAGCUCUAUUAGUAAAAAAUCUGUCCAGAACUGAUAUUGCAACUGAAGCCCCUUCUCGAGACCAAGUGAACUUACCAUUUCCAAGGGGAAUUUCCAGCAGCAUAGCUUUGUCAAUGAAGCUAUUAAACAGCUACAUUGUUGAAAGUAUCUAUAAUGAAUUUAAAUUCUUAGGUUUUUCUUUUCCCCCUAGUACUAUUCUGUAAAACUAUACUCAUUUUGUAAGAAGUGUUGCAAUCUGAGAGGAUAUUUUGUGAUUAUUUCUUUCUUUAUUUUCCAGAAUUUAUCACAUGAGGAUGCGUUUCAGCCUUGGAUGGAUCCAUCAUGCUUGAGUGUGUUGCCGCAGUCAUAGCUUGGAAGUUUAGCACAAUUUGGCUCUUGUUUCACUUUAUAUGCAGAAGAAUGAAUCCAGAUAAAAUGGUACAUCAUGAAUGUAUUUUGGUUGGUCGUGGGUUUCAUGUUUUUGUAAAUAUAUUAGGAAUUAAAUUAGUAGGUGCUAUCCAUUACAUUGUAACUCUUGUUGAGCCCAUGACAUUGAAGUGUAGAAGAAACACAUUCAUUCUGCUUAGUGUAGCAUUGCGUCUUUUUUUUUUUAUUCAUUUGGAAGAUUUUAAAAGACCAAGAUUUCAGAUUAUGAGACAGGGAAUUAAGAGAGGGCAAACUAUCACUCUGACUUCAGCUUAAACAAGUCUACACUCUAAACAUUAUCUUAAUAUUAACUCCAAAUUAAACAACUCUGCUCUCUAAUAAACACAAACUUCACACUAAACAGCUUCGCAUUCUGAAUAUAUAUUCAAUUACUCUUCUCCGAACUAGCUCAUAGUUUCAAUUUGGUCUUUUGAGUGUUUCAAGAUGUCAACAAAAGGUUGUCUAUGAUAUAUAGUAGCUUUUGAAGGUAUAAAACUACAAUUUGGAAGAUUUCAAUUUGGUCCUUCUCUGGACAGUGGCAUGUCUUUCUUUUCUUUAUUGUAGUUUCUCCCCAAUGAUAUAGUAGCUUUUGAAGGUGUAUAAAACUACAAUUUGUAGAGUUUAUGCAUUGAUGCAAUAUCAAAAUGAGAUGAAGGUGAAUAAUAUUUAUGAUUCUAUUUGGAAGACAACAUUUAAUUACAUUUGUAAAAUAUUUAUUUUGAUUGUAGAUCAUCCUGCGGUAGAUCGUUGGCAUUGAACAUAAUUCUUGGCUUUCCCAUGCUGAAGUUGAGAACCCUUGCAUUCAUAUUGUACUUGAUUUCUCCAUCAUAAAGCAUCUUUCUUAUGUAGUGUUCUAUGUCUGAACCUAUUAGCCUAAGUGUAUAUUCUGUCAAUGGAGCUCCCUGGUUUUCCACAAAUAAACACACACCCCAUCAAUAUAACUUAAUUGUCACACUAACUUCACAAAUCUAUAUUACAAAAUAUGCGUACGUGUGUCAGUAAUAUUGCCCUUCUAUCAUUACACUAUAAAUUUUGGAUGAAAAUUAAGACCUAAAACAAGUAGGGUGAUGACUUGGAACCGAACUUUUUGGACGACGAUAAAAUAAUCUAUUGCCUUCAAAUUCACUAACAUCUUGUUUAGUUAAUAUUUACUUUUUCAAUUUCUUAUUGUUUUCUAUUUUCUACUUGAUGUUUUAAAAAAUGAAAGCAAGUUUUAAAAACUACACAAAUUCUUUUAUUUUUAUUUUUAGAAUUUGACUCAAAUAGUUAACCAAAUAAACCCUGGUUUAGAAUAUAAAUAUAUUUUACAAAAUUUCCCUGUCAAAUGUUGUGGGCUUCGAUUGUUGUUUUGUCAAUUGAACCAUACAUACCUUUAAUCAAUAAAAGUACAUCAAUGUAUUUAUACAUUCUUUAGCUCAAUUAGUAUAGUAUUAGCUAGUCCUAUUUUAUUAACAAAUAGGUCGAUUUGAAGUUUUGGCAGAGCUAACCCAUGAUAUAACAAAGGAUCCUAAAAUACUAAAGAAAGAGAGAGAAAGAAAAGUACCUCAUAAUGAUCCACAAGCUCUUGGAAGUAAGCAUAGACUUUAUUGCAAGUUUCAGGAUUCCAAAGGAACUCAUUACUUGGAUCCAAAAGGAGAGUGAGUUUAUCCAUUUGAGUUUGAUCAAACUCACAAGUAAUUGGGUCAAUGUAAGCUGCAUAUAUUCUUACAUGUCUUGUUACACUGCUAAGCCAUUGUCCUCCAUACUCUCUCCCCAUGUUUUUGCUCUUCACAUUCUGUUGUACUUCCACGGGCCGCAGCGGCGACGGUUUCGGCUUUGCCUGUUCUUGAUCUUCUUCCUGGUCUCCAGCUUUUAGUUGCUCUGCAGCUUCAUUGAUCUGAGCUGAGAUGGGAAAUCUGAGUGUGUGUUUUGUGUUUUGUAUGCCAUUUUUCCAACCCACCAUAGAAAACAUUAUGUAAGAUGAAGCUGCUGCUGCUGCCGCCAUGGGAGAGUUCUUUUGGUGUCUAUCUUUUAGAAAAUGGUUGGUUUUGAUUUCUCUGUUUUAUAGUUUUGGAGUAUUUUCCUUUUUUCCCUAUGGAGGGUCUUUGUUUUUCUCUUCUUUUUUUCUUUUUCAAAUGAAAUGAGAUCCAAUUGUUUGUGGAUAAGAUUUUUUUGGUUAUGUUUCAUCAUUUGGUGCACUUACAUACAUACAUCCAUACACACAUUUAGGGCCAAAAACUUAAGAAAAUCUAUUCAGUUGAUUGAAUUAUUUUGGUAAAGGCUUAACUUAACAAUAUUUGACAUGAUCUAUCGUUAUAAUAAAAGAAUGGAAACUAUUUGGUGAAGAUAUAUUUGUUUCAUUUGUUUGUCAAAUAUUCAUGAUGCAUACAUUAUACAAAAACGAUUUAAUUUAAAUUUUUUCUUGUUUGUUUUCCAUUUUCGAGGUUAUCACAAUUUUUGAACAAAUACUUACCCUUUUAAUCUAAUUCUAAAAGCAAAACAAGUUUUAGAAAACUAACUUAUUUUAGUUUUAAAAUUUUGAUUUGGUUUUUGAAAAUAAUGAAUAAAAGUAAACAAUAAAAUUAAAAAAAAUAUUUAGACUUCCACGAAUGCAUAUCAAACUAUAAGGAAACAUAGUCAAUUGGAACCAAAUUCAACCAAAUGAUUAUAUACAUUACAGAACUAAAAGUUUAGAAAAGAGAAAAUAAUAACAAAUCUCCAUAAAAACGACUUGCUCCCAACUUUAAGGGCUUGAUUGGGUUCGAGGGUUGGAGUCGGAUGGAAUGAGUUAUUAUAGUCACUCCACUUUUAGUCCUUAGAGAUAUAAUAACGUUUUUAAGAGAAAUGAUUUUUUUUUUUUGAAUUUUAACAAAUAAUAUUUUUUUGCACGUACAUGGUAUUUUAUAAAAUACCAAAAUAUCAUCAUUCUCAAACGUAAUUAUUUCGUUUCUACAUUGUAAUUAAUUUAUGUUAUGCAUUUGUCGGCAUUUAAUUAUUUUUCACAGACAAAAGAUAUAACAACUCAUAUCAUAACUUUUUUCCUAAUAUGUCGAAACUCAACUAAUUGAUUCAACGAUAACUUUAUUCAAUCUUACAAAUUUCAAAAUAAUAAAAUUGAAUUUAAAUUUCAAAAUAAUCUUAUUGAAUUUUAAAAUAAUAAAAUUAUUAUUUUUCAGAAUUUGAGAAUCUCAACCGUAGAUUUUGUGUCAAAAUAACAUUAAUUGAAUUUCAAAAUUAAAAAAUAUAAACUUGUUUACUAUCUUAUCUCAAAAUAACAUUAAUGACUUGAAUUAUUUUUAAAUUGAAAGAAUCUCAAUAUUAAUUUUGUUUUAAAAUAAAUAUCAAAAUAACCAAAUUAUUAAUUUUUGAAUAGAAAAAUCUUAACUAUUGAUUUCAAAAUAACCCAACAACUAUUUUGAAUUUAGGAGAAUUUCAACCAUUUAUUUUAUUUCAAAAUAAUGUUUUAAUAUUAAAAUAAAAUUUAUUGGUUGAAUCACAAAAAUAACCAAAUUAUUAUUUUGAAUUAAAAUUUUAUUAGGUUUCUUUUGUUUAAAUGAGAACUCGCUUGUUGUUUGUUUCCUAAUGUUUCUUAUUAAGAGUUUAUGAAAGUCUAAUUAACUUAUUAUAAAAAUAUAGCUUUGUAUAUAUAUACAAUUAUGUAAACCAAUUAAAAUUAAAAACAAUUACUACUUGUGUUUAGAAAUAUUUUUAAAUCAUAUUCAUUUGACCGAAUAACAUUAAUUAAAUUAAAAUUUCUAUCAAUAUUGAUUUAAAACUGUAAUUAGUAUAAUUAUUUCAAUAUAUUGUAUUUUUAUCAAAAAUAUUUUGUGUAAUUAAUUUGUGAUAUAUUGUUGUAAAUUUAUCAAAGUCUUUCAAAUAUAAUUAAUUUGUGAUAUACAAUUAUGAAUAUGUAAUUAAUUUCAACGUUAGAGAACUCUAUCAUAAUCUCUUCUUAGUAUCUCGAAAUUUAAAAAUAUCAAUAACUUCAUUCAUUUUUUUAUUUCAACAUUGUGGUAAGAUUUUAACAACUUUAUUUAUUUUUUUAUUUCAAAAUAAUCAUAUCAUUAAUUUUUAUUGGCUAAAUCUCAUUUUUUUUAUUUCAAAAUAUGAUGAAUCAUUUCGUAACCUUUAAUAACUUUAAAUUAAAAUUAGUUUUGUUUAGAUUUUAAUUUAUUUUUGAAUUUUGAAUUUGAAAAACUUUUUUUUAUUUAUUUGGAAAUUAAAUCUCAACUUUUUUUUAAAUUUCAAAAUAAGUUGAAUAUUUCGAUCCUUAAUAGGUUAGAAAUUAAAAUUAGUUUUUGUAUUAGAUCUUAAUUUAUUUUUCCAAUAAAAAAGGCUAAGAUAUCGUGUUUUUGGAUAAAAUCUCCCAAAUUUGCUCGAAGAAGAUGAGAUGAAAAAAGAAAAAAGAAAAAUGGAGACGAAGGAAGAUUUUCAAAAUGAAAGAUGAGAAACGAAAAACAAAAAUGAAGAUCGUUGCAAUGGGUCUAGAAAAUGAAGACGAAGGAUUCUGACUUUGAUCGAAAAAAUAUGUAUUUAAGAUUUAUUAAAGUAUAUUUAUUCUAUUUUAACUUUAAGAAAGUAUCUUACACUUUAUGUAUAUAAGGGUAUUUUGGGCUUUUACAAAUUCUUAUUUAUUGUUUUUUUUCUUUCAUUUUACCAUUUUUGAAAAAGAAAAGCGAUUUUGCUAUUUUUCAAAAUGACAAAUUUAAAAUUGCUAUUCUUUAAAGAUACAAUUCUUUAAAGAUUCUUCUAGUUGACUCUUAGAAGAAUAGUUAUUUUUGGAGAAAUUUGAGUGGUAUAUUUUUCUUUGGGAUAUUGUUUCUUAAGUUAAUAAGAAGAAUGAUAAAUCUUCCACAAUAUGAUUGAUAAAUAUGAAAUUUAUAAAAAUAUUUUAGAUUUUUUACUUUGCUAGACUGUAUUUUGUAUUUUGUUAUAUUUUGGAAAUGUUAGAAAAUAAAUGUAUAAAUAUUUAUUAAAGAUACAAUUUUAGUUAGGAUAUAAUAUAAUAACUAAUUGGAAAUAUUAAGAACAAUUGGACAUCUUUGAAAGACUUGCUCCAAUUUUCUCUAGCAAAUAGAUCUAAGAUUAAAAUACCAUAAACGAGUUUGCAAAAUACAAUUUGUUUCGUAAAUCCAACCACCUUGCCAAUGUCCGAUCUAUUUAAAAUACACUAUACGUGUAAUGUAAACCAUGAAAUACAAUAAAGUCAUAAAUCCUCGUGUCAAUAUUUUGCUAAAAAAACUUAUUCCGCAUAGUUUUUGCUAAAUUUCCAACCGAGUAAAAUAAUUUUGGCAUUUCAUCCAAUUUCUUAAAAGAAGGAAAAAGCUUAAUUUAGCUUAAAUAUGACACAAAUAUAUGCCCGAGCCCAUAAAGUCCACGGAAGAACUUCAAAAAUAUAGAAGUUCUCUUCGUUCGUGAGGAUAGAAAUUUUUGGUUUUAGAGAGCUUAGAGAGAAUUCUUCUAACAGCAAAGCUCUUGAAAACUGUAUCACUCCUUGAAACUUAAGUUCCUUGGAGAUACAAAUAUUCUUUCGACUACAGCUUUAGAAACAUCACGAAGCGAAAGGAUCAAACACUAGAUAUCGAAUCUCACCGCAUCAAAUCAAUAUAAACAUAACAUCAACACAAGUUCAACUCCACAAAACACAUUUUUUUCGAAAACUUCAUGCAAACAAUUACAUACAUACAUAUAUAUCCAACAAUACAUACUAUAAUAUUACUGAAACUACAUGAAUAAUAUAAAUUAUCAUUGUAAUAAUAGUAAAAGUAUGUUGUAAUAUAGUAAAUAUAUCCUAGAAUCUAUAAGACCAACGACAUUCAAUUUUAAAUAUAAUAACACCUAUAACACCACGUGAGAUAUACACGUUUGUAAUAUAGUGAAUAUACUAAUAAAAUAUAAGUAGAUAUCUAACGUAUACGUAUAGUUGCACUCAUUUACUAUAACUUUUUGAUCUAUAGGACAUAUAGUGAUGACAUUUGUAAUACAUCUUAGAGUCCUAGACCAAAUUGAUAGCAAAAGACAUGCCCACUAUCUCUUAAACCGGCUUAAAAUCAACAUGAUCUGUUACCAUGAUCAACGCUAUCGUUUAAAGUAUUAUUUCACUACACGAUUGUUUAAUCUAAUUUAAACAUUGUGUAUACAUACCAGACGAUCGUUUAUAUUAUAUUAUACAAUUGUUUAUGUUUGAAACUUUGUUGUCAUUGUUUAGAGUUUAUUAUCCGAUAUUUUAAAUUUGAAGCAUUUUUUUUCAUCAUUUAAAAAUGAAGUAGAGAGUCGCGUUUUAGAAUUUAAAUCAUCGUUUAUAUUAUAAUACACAAUUAUUUAGAAGAAGAUUACUUGCACGUUUGAUAUUUCAGCUUGUGAACGGUUUCCUUUUCAAAAUGAUUAUAUGUAGGGUAAAUGGUUUGCUAUAUUUUAAAAAAGAAAAAACUCCAACUAAUUUUGAAUUAGGCUAAAUCUUAGAAUGUUUGAUGUAAAUAAGCAGACACGAGUGAUUCAAACCCUCGUAAGCUUAGAGAGCGGAGGAUUGUUAAUUUUGGGCCAACGUCCUUGAGAACGUACCGAGAACUUCAAAUCUGUGGCGAAAAGAAAUAUAGGGUUUAACUAAGAUUUUGGGUCACGUAGUUGGGGACGGCAGCUUCAGCCUUCGACCAUUCCGAUUAGACUCCCCAAAUUUCUCAUUCAACAUGGCUUUCAAGACCAACACCGUUGCUUCCGCUUCUUCUGCUGUUGCAAUUUCUUCCGAAGUUAAGCUCCUUUCCUCUCUAUUUACUCACUCUCCCGCCGUUCUAUCAUCAAAUCCCCAAAUUUCCUCUGCAAAUAAUCCCAAGUCCCUACAUGCAUCACCGGAACGGAUUUCCUUUCAACACGGGAUUCCGAUGUUCCUACAUAAGUGCAAGACAGGUAGUAUCUCUGUAACUCAAGCACACCAAUUCUUUGACCUAAUGAUGCGUUCAAUCUUUUCUUUCAAUCGUUUACUUGCUGGACUUGCUAAGAUUGAGCAUUACUCUCAAGUGUUUUCUCUCUAUAAACAAAUGCACCUUGCUGGACUUUGGCCCGAUUUACUCACACUGAAUAUAUUGAUUAAUUGCCUUUGUAAUGUGAAUCGGAUUAACGAAGGUCUCGCGGCCAUGGCGGGGAUUAUGAGGAGAGGUUACAUUCCUGAUGUAGUGACAUUUACUACCUUGAUUAAGGGCUUGUGUGUGGAGCAUAGGAUUAUUGAAGCUACUAAGCUAUUUAUGAGAAUGCAAAAGUUAGGUUGCACGCCUAAUGUGGUUACUUAUGGAACUUUGAUCAAGGGCCUAUGUGCAUUAGGGAAUAUUAACAUCGCACUUAAGUGGCAUCAAGAAAUGCUCAAUGACACUAGUCCAUAUGUAUUUAAUUGUAGGCCUAAUGUUAUUUCCUACAGUAUCAUCAUAGAUGGACUUUGUAAGGUUGGAAAUUGGGAGGAGGCUAUAUGUUUAUUCAAUGAGAUGGUGGAUCAAGGUGUUCAACCAAAUGUUGUCACAUUUAGUGUGUUGAUUGAUAUGCUUUGCAAGGAAGGACAGGUUAUCAAGGCUAAGAAGUUGCUAGAGAUGAUGAUUCAGAUAGGUAUUGUUCCUAAUUUGUUUACUUAUACUUCAUUGAUUAAGGGGUUUUGUUUGGUUGGUGACUUGAAUAGUGCCAAGGAGUUGUUUGUUAGUAUGCCAAGUAAGGGAUAUGAACCUGAUGUGAUUAGUUACAAUAUGUUAAUCAAUGGGUAUUGUAAAACCUUGAAGGUGGAAGAAGCAAUGAAGCUUUUCAAUGAAAUGCUUCAUGUGGGAAUGUGGCCAGAUGUGAAAACAUCGGGUGUCUUGUUAAAAGCGCUUUUUCUUGCCGGCAAGGUUGAUGAUGCAAAGGAACUAUUUCGUGUCAUUAAACCUUAUGCUAUGCCCAAAGAUUUAUGUAUAUGUUGUAUUUUCUUAGAUGGGUUGUGUAAGAAUGGUUAUAUUUUUGAAGCGAUGAAACUUUUUAAUGAGCUAGAAUCUUACAACAUGAAAUUGGACAUUGAAACCUUUGGUUGUCUAAUUGAUGGUCUGUGCAAAGCAGGGAAACUUGAAACUGCUUGGGAGCUAUUUGAAAAACUAUAUGAGGAAGGAAUUCAACCGGAUGCUAUGGCUUAUUCCAGUAUGAUCCAUGGGUUUUGUAAGAAGGGACAAGUAGAUAAGGCAAAUAUUUUGUUUCAAAAGAUGGAAGAAAAUGGUUGUUCUCCCGACUUAAUUACUUAUAGUAUCCUUAUGCGUGGUUUCUAUGAGAGUAAUAAAUUAGAGAAAGUGGUUCAACUCCUCCAUAGGAUGAUUGAAAAGGAUGUGUGGCCAGAUGAUGGCAUUUAUGCUAUAGUUGAAGACAUGGUUUGCAAAGAUGAAAAAUAUAAAGAAUGGCUAGACUUGCUUCAAAGAUUUUUUGUCCAAAAGCAUCGGAAUGGCUAUUUAUAGACUUAGAAGCUAUAUGACUUGGAAAUAUCUAAUCAGUUUUGAGAAGCAAUGAAACACAUUGGUUUCCAUUUUUCUUCUUUGUUGCUAAAAAAAAUAUUUGAGUUGUUCUUCACGAGCAGCAUUGGUAGCGAGUUUGUUAAGAAAUGGAGAGAGAGAGAGAGGCUGACAAUGGAGUAAUUAUACUUGGGAGAAUUGAAAUCACAACCACCAGCGGGGAGGAGCACAUUGAUUGACGACAUCGCUCGUGGGUGUGAGACUGGAGAAAAUAGGGUGUUGUGGUGUGAGAAGUUGUUGGUUAGUAUGCCAAGUAAGGGAUAUGAACCUGAUGUGAUUAGUUACAAUAUGUUAAUCAAUGGGUAUUGUAAAACCUUGAAGGUGGAAGAAGCAAUGAAGCUUUCCAAUGAAAUGUUUCAUGUGGGAAUGUGACCAGAUAUGAAAGCGCUUUUUCUUGCCGAAAUCACAAAUCUUUUCCUAGAAAAGCUCAAUGACCACUAGCGGGGAGGAGCACAUCGAUCAACGACAUUGCUUGUUGGUGGGAGACCGAUGAAAAUAGGGCGUUGUGGUGUGAGAAAAUGUGGAAAUGAAAAAGUUCUUAACAACAGACAAAAAGGGGAUUUGAGCCUUGAUGCCUCGUCAAAUGCAUAUCUUCUAUUCGAAAACCGACAUUAAAGAUUCACCUCUUUGUUAGACACUUUUUGACAUAGUACAUAAGUAUUAGUUUCGCGAUCAACUUCAAAUGCCUAAUUUGUUGUAAUGUUUGAAAUUAGGUUGUUUCUUUCUCAAAGAUAUCACUUCUGUUUUCCAUUCAUCCUUCUUCUUUUUGUUUAAGAAUUUCUUAAAGGUUGUCUUCUAGGCACAGUUGAGCGCACGAAUGUUGAGACUUCGCAACAAAAGUUUUAAAAGAUGAUAAAUUGUGAGUUGUGAAUUAAAAUUAUUCAAUUGUUUGACAUAUUUAGUCAAUCUGAAUGACUAACUAUAGAACAAUUAAACACAAAUGGAAUGAUAUAGAGUACUCAUAUUUAAGUAAUGUGAUAGCGAAUAUUAAUAAAUAAUUCGAGUUUCAACACAACAAUGUAGAUGCCAAUACCAAUAUACACAUUGAUAAGAGUGGAAAUUGUUCAAGGAGAAGAUAGUUAGGACCAGGUAGAUGAGGUAACCCAACUCCUUAAGUGCCUACUUAACUGGAUUGUUUUUUGUGUAUAUAUUAUCCCAACAUUCUUUCAUUGUUGUUUUGAUUAUCUUUCUUCUUUUCUUCAGACAUUCUAACUUGAUUUGAGUAGAUUUUUGCGGUUGAAGAUGGUGGUGAAUGAAUAGAUCUUAAUUUUGUCUUUAAUGUCAUUGGUUGCAUAAACUCAACUUUUUUUUUUUUUGAUCUACACCUUAACAUAAUUCAAAGACUUCACAAAUCUAAAUUCUACAAACUCUAGCUUAUUACAACUACGAGUUUAAUAUCCCUUGCUCAUGCUAUUGGUGAUUUUAUUAUUGGGUUUUUUGGGAUGAAAAUUGAUAUUUUUUAUCUAGGAUGUUUCUCUUGGAAAUAGGGAAAGUUGUAAGAGUUUUUCAUAAUCACUGUUAUAAAUUCACAGACCUGAGUUUAUGGCUUUAGAAGAGUAUGAAGAGGCGUAGAACAAAUUAGUCGAUAUAUACUCAUUUGGAAUGUGCAUUCUGGAAAUGAUAACUUUUGAAUAUCCGUACAAUGAAUGCCCACAUCCCACUCAAAUAUAUAAGAAAGUCAUAUCUAUUAGAAGAUUUCUCACUGUUUAUAUGUUUCUUGUGUGUACGUAUGCUCAAUAUUAAGUAACAUUUAACACUCUUUUCCCAUUUUUUUUUUUUUCUGAAUUAAGAAAGUGUCUAGAUUGUCAUUUCUUUUCAUAUAUGAUUAAUCGACAUGCAAAAGCUAUUGGAUAAUAUUUUAGAAACUACUCUAGAGUUGGUGGAACAUUCCAAUUAUGUUCCUUGUUAUGAUGAUUCUAGUGGGGGUUUGGUGUAGAGAUUUGGAUUCAAUGAACAAUAUUGUGUACGUCUAUAUCUAAUUCUAUGAAGUGAGUCAUUGGUCACAGUCAUUGCAUGCGAGACAUUAUGUCUCUCAUCAUCACGUAAUUACCAAGUCCUCGUUGAGUAUAAGCUUUCCUAUUCCUUGCCUAAGUAUAAGCGAAACAAUAGGUUCCUGGAUAAUCCAAGGUCGAACACAGGAAACUGAUAUCAAAACUUAGUUCUAAAGCUCACUCAUCAUCUAGGUAGUAUAAAAUUUCUAUCUAUACAAUAAAAAGUGUAAGUUUAAACUAUAUCUACCAUCUACACUAGAGAGUCUACAAAAAGGAAGAAUAAUAAUGGAGGCGAGAUGGAAGUGUAAACUAACUUGUGUUAAGAAAGAGUGUAGGAAGGUUUAUGCGUUACUAGGCGAUUAAGCCAUGCAACAACCUUAAUGCGAUAAAACUUAGUUAACUAGCUUAUGAUUAAUGUGAGCACCUCUCAGUACCUUAAACAUCACACUUGCUUGCCUCUCAUGAUGUAAAUGAUAAAACUUGAGAUAUAUCUAAAGGGUUUACUUACAAGACUUACAAGACUUAUAACACUUCUCUUUUAAGGGUGACAAUCUCUCGGCACCAAAUACUCACACUUGUUAUCCUUUUGGGACAUAAAUGAUGGAAGUUAUCUCGUAAAGGUGGAGUUUGUCUCUAAACUCCUCCUUUUGUGCAUUAGCCAUAUUCAUGCUAACACAAUAAGCUUUAUAAAUUAAGCUUCUUAUCAAGAACUUAUCACAUACAUAAACUAUACAAAAUACAUUGACAAAUGAACAAUAAAGGAAUGUUGGAUUGAAAAUGUAUAAACAUGCAAUAUAUUAAAGAAUGCAUGCCUUAGGCCUUUGUACAAUAUGAGCAUAUACAUUGCAAAGAAUAAUACAAACGAAAAGUAAAAGAAAUGACUUUACAAGUUAGAAGAAAGAAAGAAUGAAAUCUUCUCUACUUUGACUCUAAGCUUUUACUUACAGGCUGACUGGAGAAGAAGAAGAAAUGCUUUUACAGACGAUGGAAAGUCUAUUCCUUUCCGCUCAUCUCUAGGGUUUGGUCCAUUUAGGCUCUCCUUGUCUUGGUAAAGGUGGAGUCCUUUUAAAAGCAACUUUCGGCAGAAAAAUUCUAUCCUUUUGAACAUGUCAGUACCAAUUGCAGUCUUGUCAAGUCACAUCAACUUCAAUUACCAUUCUUGUCUUCUAGUGAACCUUCCUUGCCUAGAAAUUGUACUUGCCAAAUAGGUUCUUCUCACAUAGCCUUCGCACGAGUUCCUCUACGAUUCAAUAGUUUCUUAUUUUGUUCCCUAAUCACGCGUUAAAACACUAAAAACAAGGUAAAACACGCAUGAAGACUUAUGUAAAAUAUAUUUCCAAAUAGUUAUGAAUUUACAAUAAAAGCUAUGCGUUUUGACACACUUACUAUGCGUUUUUGUUCCAUUAUUUUACCUAAAAGGAUAUAGUAACUUAUAUUUUUAUAAGUUAUCAGUGUUAUGUUUGAUCACAUGGGUAAUUACUUUAACUACGCCUUCUUAUUUGAAGAUGCUAGAAGACAGACUUAGUGAUAUUUUGAUGCUUAUACUUAACGACUCUUUAUAUUAGAUAUCUUAAAGCUUAAAUGAAUAUGAACUAUUAUAAGUGAAUCUUUGGAAACAAGUUUCAACUUCCGAAAGGGUACUUCUAUCUACCCUGUCCUUCAUGUUUUCCAACUUAAAUGUGUCUUGAGUGUUUGGGGCAACGUUACAAUGUGCAAUGAGAUAUUGUUUAAUUAUUAGUAUUUACUUAUAGUUAUAUGUUUUGUAAAUGAUAUCUUCCUUCCAUAUUUCUGCUUAUAACUUGACAGUUAGAUUGUUUUAAUUCUAGAAUUUUAAUACUUGUGUUGGUUGUUUGAGAUAUAUGAUUCUAUGUCUUCCAUGGUUUGGUAGUUUGUAUAAAUUAAAUAUAAGUUUUAUACUUUGUUUAAUUUCUUUUUGAUAUGUUUAAUUUUUUUUUUAUUUAUCUAUUAUUUUAUGUACUUAAGUGAGUAUAUCUUCCUUGGAGAUACUUUUGGGACACCAACUUUAUAAUCCUUCGUAAUAGACAACUCCCUCGUUUGCUAGAUUUUGAAAGCUUUGUAUAUAUAUAUAUUAAUAAAUGUAAUUUGUCAAUAGCUUACUUAGUUAAACGAUUUGUCACUUUCUUGGUUGUGAAUGAGAUAAUUUUUGAGUUUGUUGAGAGUUGUGUUGUAUGCAAUAGAAGAGAUAUUAUUGUUUCUUGAAAAGAAAAGAAAGAUUAUUGAUUUGCACAUUACUUUUUUUUAUAUCAAUUUUUAAGUAUUUGAUCGUCAUUUAAAAUGGAUUGGACAAUGUUGUAAUUAUUGAAUAAAUUUGGUAAUAAACUGACACAGAAGACAUUGAAAUGGUCUACAAUGUUAGUUUUCAAAUGACAUUGUUGGGAAUCUAUAAUGGCAGUUUAAAACAGACAUCAAAGCAAAACUAACGUUAAAAAGCUUUAAUAACACGUUCAUAGAUGUCGGUCAAGAACUGACAUUGUACCUUUAUCAUGUUAUUUUAAACCAACAUUGUUGAUGUCUUAUAUGUCGAUUUUGAACUGACAUCAAAGCACAACUAACAUUAAAGGGCUUUAAUAUUAUGAUUAUAGAUGUUGGUUGGCAACUGACAUCGUACCUCUACAAUGUCAGUUUUAAACCGACAUUAAAGUUCAGUUUUGUUGUAACUGAUAACGUGUAGUAAUGACUGUUAGUAUAGCUAUUUUUAUUAGAAUAUUAAAACACAUAAGAAGUUGACCAGAACAUGUGACUUGUAUUGUAAACGCACAAGUAUUUAGAAAUAUAGCUUGCAUAAGUGAUAUUCUUGUUUUACGCGGUUAUCAUGUUUAAACGCAGGAUAAGUGAGAAGAAAAUAAAUGAGCAAAUCAUAUAAAACAUAUCACGCAAAGGCUACACAAUGGGAACUAGCUUGGCGAAUAACAACCCCAAGCAAGGAACCAAUACAUCACGCAAGGAAAGUUCACUAGAAGACAAGAAUGCCAGUUGGGAUGAUGUGACCUCACAGGACCAGAUGACAACGAAGACACACUAAGAAAAAUAGAAGUUUCCCAUUGAAAAAUAGCCUAUACAAGCACUUAUUCACCUCCACCGAAAGGAAGGAGGGCCCAAAUAGGCCAAAGAAGGUCUGUAUGGAUCUUGAGAGAGAGCUCGAGUGAGCUACCUGGAGAGUAUGUAGCCGUGAUGAAGAAAAAGACGAUUUAUGUUGAUCUCCUAACUUGUAAUAGCAAUCAACUUUCUCUUCCUCCCAUUUUAUUGUUUUCAUUUAUAUUUUUAUACCUCAUAUUGUACAUAUUGUUUGUGGGUCUAUGCCCUACAUUCUUGGAUAAAUUUAUGUAACAUAGUCGUUCAAUAUGUCAUCCCUCCUCUUCUGGAAGUCAACGUGUUAUUAAUAGCUUGAGUAGGUGAUAAUUCAUGAUAAGAAGAGUCACUUAUAAAUCUUAAAGUGCUAAUCACGCUUUUGUUAUUGCUUGGCCAGCAUAAGUUACUAACUACUCAAGAGGAAAAGUAGCUAGAACCUAAUUAGCACACGUGAAGAGAAACUUUGCCUCUUCGCGAGAGUAUUUCUAAAAUUUGGAUCCCAAAAGGAAGACAAGUGUGGACAGUGGAUAUCGAGAGGUAUCGAUCCUUAAUCAUGAAAUACCUUAAGGUGCAUAAGUGGUUUCUCCUAGAUACAAUUCACCUAGCUGUAUUAUUUGGUCAUAUAGAUCUCUGAAAAGCAGUCAUGUGUGGCAUAUAUGCCUUCGAGAGAAGCAUGCCUUAAUUACAAGUAUGUCUUAGGAAGUUAGAUCGCAUCAAAGUUAUCUCUCUACUCACUCGAAGGAUAACAUGCAGACAUUUCUGCAUUCAUUCCUUUAAUACAAGUUAGACGCGUUAUAGUCUUUCUCUUCAAGUCGCCUUAGAGACUCUUGCUUUGUAAUGAAGAGUAGAUCCUAAAACCAACGUUUGAAAACAAUUAACUGUGUUUGACCUUGGAUCACCCAGGUAAAUCUAUUGUUUCGCUUGCAUUUGGACAAGCGGUAGGAAAAAUUGUACUCAAUGAGGACUUAGGAAUUACACGAUGAAGAGGUACAUUGUGAGCAUUUCACAUGUUAUGAUCAUGCCCUAUGACUCAUCGCCUAGAAUGGAAACAUGCGAUACAGAGAGUUAAGAUGAGCGCAUUACACGCCAUGACUUGACUCCAUGACGUAUUGCAAUUGUAUUGUACACGCAUGAACUUAUUAAGUCCAAAAUAGUCCCAACCAGUAAUGUAUAGCUUAAAAGAAUCUUAUCAAAAAUGUUGAUGAAAUAGGAGAUUUAAACAUUAAACAUAAGAACAAAUCGUUUAAUAAUAGAUGAAAGAAAAUGUGGAAGAGGAGAUGAAGAAAUCAGAAAGACGAAUAAUAAAGAGAAGUGACAAAUUGUAUGCAAUAUUCAAGGCACACUACUAGAAAAAUGAGUUUUAAUGACACUGCUAAUCAAGACAUUGUGUCGUUGAAAAUAAAAAUAGGGUGGGGUGAGGUAAAUUGUGUUGUGAAAAAUAAAAAUAUGGAUUAUUUCUUGACACAAUUUUUGCAUUGUUAAUUAACGAUAAAUUUUUUUGUGUCAUUAAUUUCCAAAGUAAAAAAUUUCUAAAUGAAAAAAUCCCAAUUUUUUUUUGAAUUUCCCUUCCUCACGCAAUUAAAACUAAAUAAAAACCUCAAAUUUUCACUCAAGCAAAAAUGCUGCCGUCGAACAAAGCCUUAAUGCAAUUUUUUUUUCUCUCCUUACCAAAAACACAAAAAAUUCUUGUCGAAUGAAGUGGGCUACUGCGUUGUUGUGACGAACCUUUGCCUUCCAAUUUUCUGCCACCCGUCGCCGUCGAUUCCACACUCCAGCCACUAUCGUCAUUGCCACCACAAUAAGCCUUCACCAUCAAACCCACCAAUCUAGCCACUGCCGUCGAAUAAAUUUAUAGAAAUAUGAGUUUUAAUGACACUUGAAAUCAAGAAAAAAGGGUGGAAGGGAAUAAAAUGUGUCGUUAUGAAUAAAAAUGCAAAUUUUUUCGUGACACAAUUUUUUCGUCGUUAAAUAACGAAAUAAAUUACGUGCCAUUAAAAAUUAUCCUAAUAAAUAAUCAACGUUUUUCUUCAUUCGUACGCUUUCUGAUUUUAAAAAAAUAAUUUGACGCUUUCAUCCUUCUUGCGAACAACGAUUGAAAAAAACCCUUACUUCAUCCCACGUCGUCGCUGUCUUUUCUCUUUCACAAACGCUCUCCAGUGUCAUUUUUCUCUCUCUCGCAAACGCUUUUCACAAAUUUUCCUCUCUCAAAAGCUCUCUACCCGUCUUUUGAAGCAGCUCAGCAAAUUUGCAGGUAAUUGGAAAAUUCGUGGAGCAUGAGAUCGAUCAAGUCCAUUUAUGAGUAAGUUUGAUUAUAUUAGGUCUUGUAUAUAUGUAUUACAAUUAAUUUAUCUUUUGGAUUAUUGAAAAACCAUUAUGGACAAUGUAAUUUACAUUUCUCUUAUUAUUAAUAAAAAAUCUUUCUAAACAUACGUGGGUUAGUUGAAUCAUGUACUUAAUUUAUAUAUAUCUAUCAUUUAUAUGUCUAAAAAAUAUUUGUUGUCACUUGAAAAAUAACAAUGUCAAAGAAGUGUCGACAUAUAAGUCUUUAUUAAAUAGAAACAAUGUUGUAACCAUCAUGAGUUGACUUAGUGGUAAAAAGUUUAAAAAAUUAACUAAGAGGUCAUGAAUUCAAUCCAUGGUGGCCAACCAACAUUGAAAUUAAUUUCUUACGAGUUUCCUUGACACCCGACCCUGUAGAAUCUGACAGAUUGAAGAUUCUCCUAUUCAUAAUUUUGGUUUAAUAAAAACACAAACCCUAUCGAUACUCAUAAAUAUACACGUGUUAGUUGAGUUAAGUUCUAAUCUGAAAAUUUAAUUAAACUAAUUUUAAGUUAGGUUUGGGUAUGGAAUUAUUUCUGUUAUUGCAUAAAUUCAUUGAAUCUCCAACAAAAAAAGUUCAAUUGCUUUUAUUUUGAUUUUAGAGAAAAUGAAAAAUACAAGAACAAAUUAUAUACCAUAAAUGAAGUAAGUUUGUUGUUUGAUAUAAGAAAACUAUAACAAAAAAAAAAAAAAACUUAUCUUAACUAACAGUGGUAUGUAAUUUUCAAAUACUUUUUACCUAAUUUAUACUAAAAAAUGUAAAACCAUAUCUACUUUUGUGCUCCAUUAUAUACCCAAGAAUACAUAAAUAAAUUUGGAUCUCAACUUUUUUAAGUGAUAAAAAGCAAUGAAAAGUAAAAACCUCUUUUCUUUCUUAGUCAAAAUGUAUAUGGUCAAAGCAUCAUAUUCCCAUGAAAGUAGCCCUCCUUAUAAUAUUCAUUAUAACUUUUGUUGUUGUUUCUUGCCUAAAAUAAUUCACUUUUAAAAAAUAAAUUAAAAUAUUUACGAGCUAUAACAAAUUUUUGGAUUCUAUCAACGAUAAAAAAUGGAUAGACUUUUAUUGUUGUCUAUCAAUGCCACUAAUAGAAGCAUACCGGUGUCUAUGUAUUUAUUAUUGAUAGAUUUUGAAAAUUUUAUUAAUAUUUAUAAAUAUUUUGUCAAAUUUGUUAUUUUUGAAAAUUUUCCUUAAAAAUAUUUACUAAAACUUUUAUUAAUGAUAGACAGUGACAAACUUUUAUAAGUGUCUAUCAGUAUCACUCAUAGACUUUUAUCAAAUGUCUAUGUAAGUUUUUGCUAUAUUUUAUAAUAUUUUAGUUCAUUUUGUUAUAUUUAAAAAUAUUUUUUUAAUAACUAGACAUAUAUUAUUUACAUAAAUGAAUUUUGCAUAAAUGUUUGAUAAACUACUAAUACACCAAUGUCAUAUUAACAUUACAUUAUUGAUGAUCUUUUUAAAAUUUAUUUUAAAUUAAGACUAAUAUAUUAUUGAAUUAUUUAUAUUAUAUUUUAAAUAUACUAUUUUAUCAUGAUUUUAGAGUAAAAUGAACUGUAAUAUUUACAAACAUAGACUAAAAUUGCAUGAAAUAAAAAGAAAUCCAAACGGGGCAUUCAUUUUUCUUACACGUGGGUAAAUCCAAACCCGGCAUGCUUUUAUAAUAGUUUGAAGGAUUUGUCUUUGGAUUCCUCCACUUUAAUAAAUGUAAUUUUGGGGAGAAAGAAGUAAAAGUGGAAAAAGAUAAAACUUUCCACCAUCCGUUUGUUUUAUUCUGUUGAGACGAUGUGAACUUUUAUUUAUAAGACUUCUUUUGGGGAACUGUGAGAACAAUUCAAUAGUAAUUAAUUUUCAUAAAUAUAAGAAAAUCUAAAUAUUUUCUACUUGUCUAACAAAAUAGAAAAGUGUAACCAUUUUAUUUUAAAUAUUUCAAGUUUGUUUUUCAUUUCUUUUUAUUUUCUAUAAUUUUUCAUUUUUUUCAUCGUUUUUCUUAUCUUCUUUUUAUGCAGUUUUUUCUAUACAUAUAUUUUUUGAAAUCAUGAUCUUUGUUUUCAAUGAAUCAUAAAUCGUGUAUUUUUCUUCAAAGUGUUAUUUGGUUCAAGAUCGUGUACCAAAUAUAAAAUAUCAAUAUACGAUCUUGAUUGUUUUGGCUACAACCAAAUCUAACAAAUAUAAAAGAUAAAAAAAAAAUCAUUGGAUAUUGCUACACGAUUAUUUAGAUUUGGAUAUAUAAAUCUAAACAAUCGUGUAGUCAAAUCUAAACGAUAGUGAAGAAAAGAAUCUUAAAAAAAUUGUUUGAUAUUGGUACAAUCGUUUAGAUUUGGGUAGCCAAAUCCAAACGAUAGUGUAGCUAAAUCUAAACGAUCGUAUACCAAAUAUAAAAGAAUCUUCAUGUACCAAAUAUAAAUUUUUUAGAUUGAGAUAUUGAUACACGAUCGCUUAGAUAAUUUAGCUACGAAAUCAUUUAUCAAAUAUAUUACCCAUGCAAGUGGUUAAUUAAUCGUGUGUUGACUGGGGUAUUUUUCAUUGUGAGUCUGUGAGUUUUUUUCGUUUUUGAAAGUGUUCUAUAAGUAUAAAUAUUUUAGUGAUUGUUGUUAUAUUUUUGAAAAAACCCAUAGAAAUUACUUCAAUAAUAUUUUUGUUUGUUGAUAGAAGUUCAUACAUUGAUUAACACUGCUCUUGGCUAAAAUAUAUAAAAUUCAUAAAGUUUUUUUUGUUGAUUGUGUUCUAUUAACUUUAUAUCGAUAAUUGAUAUUAAUAGAACUCUUUCAUUGAUCGGCCAUGGUAGUAUUUUAUUGUUGCUUAUCAAUAAUAGAUAUGGAUAUAAAUCUAUCACUCUUUAUAUCAAUAGCUUCUAUCAAUAUCAGUGAUAGACAUUGGUAAGGAAUAAUAUUGUUUAAUCAAUUUCUAUCAAUAAUAAAGAUAAGGUAGUUUGAUUGUGUGUGUGCAUGAUAGUAUUCUAUUGUCGCUUAUCAAUAAUAGAUACUGAUAGAAAUCUAUCACUGAUAUACAAUUAUAGUAUUCUAUCAUUGUAUAUCAAUGAUAAACACUAAAAGGUAGUGAUAGUGUUUUAUCCUUAUCUAUAUCUCUAAUCUAUACUAUAUAAAAGAGGCUAAGGGGGAGAAAAGUUUUAUUUUUCUCCUUUUAGCCCUUUUAGUGACUGAUUAUUGGGUUAUAUUGUCACAUCCCAUCUCAAGCAACUGCUUAAUUGGCCCGGGAUGUGGUAUGAUGUCAGCUAAAGCCAUUCACCUCCGGAACAACUUCAACUGACUCUUAACAUGAAUACAUGAAACAUUUGCUAGCGAAAGUCUUAAAACUUUAAAAUACUUUAAAACCGUAGUGUAACCUAUAUGAAAUACCUUUUAUAAAUGUGUAAAAUAUAUCAAACAUAAAAGUAUAAACUCUUGAAUAAAUACAGUAAUGUUUUAAGCAAAACAAUUCCUUUUAUGAUUUAAAAUUAAGUUGGCCUGACAACAAUAAGUUCAACACGAGGAGAUUCACAGUCUGUACCUAGAAAGAGAAAAAACAUUUUGAAAGAGUAAGUCUAAAGACUUAGUGAGCAAUGAUUUUAUAAAACAAGUUUUCAUAAAACAUUUUAAUAUAAAAUUGAAGCUUUAAAUACAUUUGUCAAUAAACAGUCAUUUGAUAACAUGAUACUAGAAACAUUUGCGUAGCUUUUGUAAGACAAUGUUCCGUAGUCACAGGAAAAUUAAGCCUCCUUGAUCUAUAAAAAUUAAUAUUUUAUCAAUUAAUCCAUUGAACAUGAAAAUAUCCAAAACUUCCCUUAAAUUUUUCAAAAAUUUCAUAACAGCUCAAAACAGUCCAACGGUGAUCACUAACAUAAGGGAUGGGCCUGACCGCAAGCGUAGGACUUGAGGCCUUGCCUCAUGCGUGCUAACCUCAUAAGGGUGAUCACUAACAUAAGGGUGGGCCGCAAACUGCGUGCUAACCUCAUAGAGAGGGAUGUUGCCACGUCCUUGUCGCCUACCUAGCACGCCCAUUGUGUGCCUUAAGCGCGUUAUGCUUCCCGCACACCCUGCGCGCUAACCUCACAACGCAAGGUCAUGCGCGCAACUUGAGCACAUACCUUGCCACUCAGCUCUGCCAUGACCUUCUCACAAAGCUCAAAACCCCACGCCCAUCUCGCCUAGCAUGCAUGAUACUGACCUACUGUCUAGAACUUUAUUUUUCGUCUAGAAAACAUAACCCGACUUUCAAAUUCAUAACAUAAAAUACAUAACUCUUUUGAUAAAACUUCCUUCUACAAAGGUGUUCUAAAAUGUCUUAAAUUUCUUAUCUCAAAAUAUUAGAGCAAAAAUAAAAAAGGCGAGUUCUAUAGCCCUCUGGGAAUGCACCUUGCUCAGAUUCUUCUUGAAAAUGACCUCAUCGCUUUCUUUGAAUCAAAACACAAACUUUCUCGCAUCCAACUUGAGCAAAAGCCCUAUAAAACUAGACAUAAUUUCUAAGCUUUAAGACUAAUUUGAGUGAAUUAACACGUGUGAAUUGUAUGAAAUCCUUUGUUGAAGUUGCGUAUUUAUAGGAAGCCUUGCAUGAAAAUAUGUUGACAUCUCAUUGUUGAUUAAACUCACCUCUUAAGCUCCAAAUUACACCUUGAUAAAAAAAUGUGUAUGUAGUAUGAUUAAGACACGUGUAUUAGUCCUUAAACCAAUUGUCUUAAAACAUGCCACAUUAUUGUCCUAAUGCAUAGCCUUGGCCGUCUAGCCUUCUCGCCUACUAACCUCUAUAGCCUUCUCGCAUGGCCUUGUUUAGUGUGGUCUUGCCGUCCAAUGAAAAGCCCUAAACGAAUGCUAACCUCUAAACUCAUUUUGCAUGAUAUGCUCCUCUCCUAGCCCAUCAACGCCGUAAAUAACCUCAAAUAAAUCUUCUUGUGUGCCAUGCUUCUCACCCAUACUAACCUCACAAGCCUUCUUGCCAAGUCAAAAUACCUUGUGGGAAGCUCUUGCUAACCUCCCAAGUCAUCUUGCCUAACAUAAAUCCAAGUCUUUGUUCGCCUAUUAGAUCUUACCUAGAGGUUAUCUAAUGUCCUUGGUCGCCUAAUGCUUUAUUCAAAAUAACCUCUAAACGACUAAUGUGCCUUUCUUUGACACUUAGCCAAAAAUUUUCAACUUUUCUCUUUCUCUUAACCUAGCUAAACCUUAAUUCUUAGUCUUUCCAAGUGAUUUUACUUUCCCUUUCUCUUGUCCUAACCAAAAUUUGAUAAGUUCCAAAGGUUUUUUUUUUUUUUUUUGGGUUUCAUAUGUAUCACUAGAAGAGAAAAGUUUUCCCAAUACACCAAAUGCUUGUUGAGAGAGGGGGCAAGGAGAAAGGGUAUCUUUCGACAAGCUUAAAAGCAUGCGUCAGGAGUAAGCCAUAACUCCCAAUGCCGUAUAAAUCAUCAAAAGUUAGUUAGGAAAAAAUGAUUUAAAGAGAUAACUCUCGACGUUGUUAAGAAGAACAUUUAGAGUUAGCUAAUAACUUCCGACUAAUUAAUUACACACCAAAUUUUCAAAGAGAGCUUUCGAUGCUCUUCAUAAGACAUUGAUAACUUGUUGAAAUACAAGUUAUUGUGUUCUUUUAGGUAAAAAAAAAUGGAGUCAAAAUGCAUGAUAAAGAACCAAAAUGCAUAAUUUUUAGUGCAAAUUUAUAAUGUUAAGAGAAUGCACUUUACAUAAGUCAACAUGCUUGAUUAAUUAACUCCUCAACAUAAUGGAGUAGUUGAACUAAAAAAAUAGAACUGUGUAAGAAAUGACCAGAGUUAUGUUGCAGGCAAAGAGAAUUCCUUUAUAGUUUUGGACAGAAGCUCUUAAUAUAGCUUGCCAUAUGCAUAACAAAAUUGCCUUGUGAUUAGGAACUUCAUGUACUAUUUAUCAACUAUGAAAGGAAGAAAACCUACUGUAAGAUAUUUUCAUAUUUUUGGUAGUACUUGUUACAUUCUUGUCGAUUGUGAGUAUCACAAAAAAUGGGAUACUAAAUCUGAUAAAGGAAUAUUUCUGGGCUAUUCUUAACAAUAGAGCAUGCCAUCUCUUUAACAAAAGAACCCAAACAGGUAAAGAAACUAUCAAUGUCGUUAUAAAUGACAAUGAAAAAAUUCUCGUAGACGACCAUACGAUGACAAAAUCUUCUAUGACAAUCUAACUCAAAAGAAUAAAGAAGUUCCUUUAGAUGUUCCUAAAAACAAUAACAUCAGUAAAGACAAAUAAUUCACAACCUACUACCAGUUCAAUAGAAACCCUAGAAACGUUAUAAGGAAAUGCUCAUUCCACCCUAUUCAAAAGAAUCAUCCCUAAAAAAAGAAAGAAAGACAAUUGAUUAUGCCAAAUUAAUUACUAACAUUUGCUAUACAUCUCAUAACAAACCAAUUUCUAUGAAUGAAUUAUAUUCUUUAUAAAUGUCAUGCAAGAAGAACUUAUACAAUUCAAGAGAAAUAAUGUUUAAAAUCUACUCCCAAAACUAGAAUGAAAAAACAUUAUUGGGACAAAAUGAGUUUUUAAAAUUAAAACAGAUGAAAGCGGUUCAAUAACAAAAGAUAAAACAAGACUUGUAGCUCAAGGUUACUCCAAAACUGAAGCCAUUGAUUUUAAAGGAAUCUUUUCUCUAAUAGCUAGAUUCGAACCCAUUCGCUUACUACUUGACAUAUCUUGUCUACAAAAAUUUAAACUAUAUCAUAUGGAUAUAAAAAGUGUCUUUCUUAGUGUAUACUUAGCCUAAAGGAUUCACAAAGGAUUCACGGAUCUUAAAUAUCCUCAACGUAUCUACAAACUUAACAAAGCUCAAACAAGUUCCUUAGACUUGGUAUAAAUGACUUACUAUCUUCUUGGCACACAAAGGAUAUACUCGAGGAGUAACCGAUAAAACUUUGUUGACAAACAAAUCUUAUAAAAACUUUAUUGUUGCCCAAAUCUACGUUGAUGACAUAACUUUUGUUGAAUUUCUUGAAACAAUGGUAAAUAAUUUUAUUGAUCACAUGCAAUCUGAAUUUGUGAUGAGCAUGAUUGAGAGUUAACAUUCUUUCUUGGUCUUCAAAUAAGGUAUAAUGUAGAUUCAAAGACAUAAAUGUCUGUAAGAUUUCUCAUGCUUAAUCCAGAUUUAAUUAGUACUCUAGCUUGGAUGUAUUUAACUUUUUGUUCCAAUGUAUGAGUAUUUUCAAAUCUCAAUUAAAUUUGAGUUUUGGUCUCCUACUGCAUAAGGGUUUUUGUCCUUUUAGUUAUCUAAUUAUUGAUUAAAAAUAACUAAAAAAACUAGUAAUGUCUUUUAUUAAUUUUUUAUGAAAAUUUUUCUUUAAAAUAAAUGAGACAUUUUUUAAAAAAUAAACUAGCGGUUAAUCAUCUGAGGAGAGACAUGAGAAGAGUAAGAAUGAGGAAAGAGAGAAAUUUUUUUAAGAGCCAUUUGCACACAAAAUAUAUUAAAAGGAAAAUUGAGUCUAUGACCCAACAUUUUAAAAGGGAUAGUGACAAAUUUAGCAAUUAAAUUCAAAUUAAUUAAGUAUAUAGCACAAUUUUAAAAAAUUUGUAAUUAUAGCAAAAUUUGUCAAAUUCUAUCAGUGAUAUAAGUCUAUCACUGAUAGAUCAUGUUGUAAAUAUUGGUCUAUCACUGAUAUACCAUAUGAAGUCUAUCAACGAUACAAGUCUAUCAGUGAUAGUUUUACUAUAUUUGCAAUUUUUUUAAAAUAUUGCUAUAUCCUUAAUUAUUAUUGCUAAAAUAGUCAUCAAUUGCAAUUUCCCUAGUUAAAAAUGUAAAACUACAUUUGAUUACCAUAUGAUUGUUAUCAAAUUGUCAUCUGAUUACCACUAAUUAUCAAUGAUAUCGAUUGUUGUUUGAUUGUUAUUUGAUUACUAUAUGAUUGUUAUUUGAUAUUCAUUGUUAUCUCAUAUUUAAUGAUACCGAUUUACCAUCUCGUUGUUAUUUAAUUGCAAAUGAUAUCUUUUUUUAUAUAUAAUUACUAAAUAGAAUUAGACAAUCAUCUUAUUACCUUCAAGUUUUUGUCAACUAUCAAGUAGUUAUUGACUAUCAUCAUAUUGUCAUAUGAUUAACUUCCUUUUUUUUUUGUCAAUUGUCAGUAUGAUUUUUUUUUUUUUUUUUUUUGCAUUAUGAUUGUGUAAGACUGAUAACUUGUAGAGAUGCAAGUUAUUAUAGUCUUUUGGAUAGAAUAAUGAGACCAAAAUGGAUAAGGAGUGUAUCAAAACAUGUUACUUAUGUAGUAAAUUCAUAAAUAUUUAGAAAAUACACUUUACAUAAGCAUCAUGCCUAUACCCGAUUUAUAGUAUCUAAACACAGGCUAAAGAACAAAAGAAUAAGCUAGCGAAUGACAGAGGAACUCGUGCGAAGAUUAGGAGAAAAGACCACAUCAGAACGCAUAAAGAAGUUCACUAAAAGCCAAAAGUGGUAGAUGGAGUUGAUGUGACUUAACAACAAAGGCAGUGAUAACAUGCAUAAAUACGUAUUAUUACAACCUCUUUUAUUAGAAUAAUGAGGUCAAAACACAUGAGAAGAUGACCAAGAGGUGUAACUUACAUUGUAAAUGUUGGGAUUUAUGUUUUAAAACUCAUAGAUUGUAAAUAUAAUCCAUUGACCGUUGUUAAUAAAGUGUUAUUAUUGUAAUACUUGUUAUUGAUUAUAUUAUUAGUUUUGUCUUAAUAACCCAAAUCCAAUAAACUAACGUCCUAAGCUUUUUUAUGAGACUUGAACAGUUUGUAGAGACAUACAUGAAUCAAUGUUCGAGAUAAACUUAAAGGGUCUAUAGUAUAGAGAUAAGGCUGGGUAUCUUACCCUGGUAACACUAUGGAUACAUCUGACUUUAUAUUUGAUACAAACACAAUGAUCCAACGUGUUCAUGUAGUUGAUAUGCGAGUGAGAGUAUCCUAUGCAAUGAGUUUGCAUUAGAUCGGACCGCGAAAUAGUAACCACUAGAUGUAACUCCGUUAAUUAGGUAGAUUUCUAUUUUAUUGGUUGUAAUUUGAAAUGUUCAAAAUUACUUUGGGAAUUAGUUUAAUGUAUAGUGAUACAUUAUAAUAUAAAGUUUAUCAAACUUUAUUGUAUAAAUUUAAUUUUGAAUAUGAUUCAAAAUUAGUUUAUGAGAGAUAAAAUAUUUGAAUGAGUUCAAAUAUUAAUUUAACGUGAAUUAAAUUCAUAUUAAAAUUAUUGGAGAAAUAAUUAAUAGUUUAGUUUUAUUUUAUAUAAUUAAAUUUGAUUUUUAUUAAAUUAAUAUAAAACUAUAAUAUAUUGGAGAGAUAUUCAUUAAAUAUUUAAAUAAAAUAUUAAUUAAAUAUGAUUUAAUUAAUUAUCAACUAAUUAAUUAAUAGAUUUAAGAUUUCUAUUAAUUUUCUAAAUUAGUAGAAUCUCAUAUUUCUCUCUUACUCCAUUUCCUACUCCAAGAAGGAAAGAAAAUUAUAAAUAUGUAGAAGAAAACGAUUUUCUUUAAUCAUUUAAUCAAGAAAAAAAAAUCAAUGCUUUUGGUAUUUGCCAAAAGAAAAUAGUCUCUCUAGACAUUUUUUCCAUCUCAAUUGGUUCCCACAAAUCAAUCUCAUUCUAAAGGAUAGGAAGGUCUACGACGGGUGGUGUCCCAAUUUGGAGAUGUAUUUUGUAGAUCCAGAGAUAUAAACAAAUAAGUUUUUCUUUAUCUAAUCUAUAAUUAGAAAACAUGCUUAGUCUUUUAAGUCUAGUUUCUUAAUUUUUUUUUGUCAAUAUACUGAUAUUUUGGGAUUUUCAAAUUAAUUUGAGGAAUUAUUCUGUAAAAUUUUUUGCUGCCAUAGGGCUUUUAUCCCUUUAAUUGGUAUCAGAGCCAUCUCAAAUUUUAAUUUUCCAAUUCAUUUGAUUAAAGUUUUAAUUGGAAAAUUAAACUUUACAAUGGUUAGGUGAGAUUUUUUUUUUUAUUAUGAAAAGUUGUUUGCAAGAUAAAUGUUUUCGAUUUUGAUAUCUUAGAUUAAAGUUUUUCGUUAAUUUGAUUGAUGCAAGGGUAUGUUGUUUUGGACAUUUUAAUUAUGUAAUCGAGUUUGUAAGCUUGUGUCGUUUGAUGACAAGAGUUGCAACAAUGUUUGUUUAUGAAAAAAAAGGAAAAUCGAGAAAAAGAAAUAUAUCUUUUGCGCAUCUUUGUUAUAUUAUAUUUUUGUUUUUGGUGUAGUGGAAUUUCAUUCACCAUUCAUGCAUAAGGUUUUUAGUUCAAAUCUUGAGAUUGAAGUUUUUUUUUCUUCAGUUAUUUUAUUUUAAUUAAUUAAAUUUUUUUAGUUAUUUUAUUUUAAUAAAUUAAAUUAAUAUAAUAUAAUUAUAUUAAAUGACAUUUUUAAAAAUAGCAAAAUAAAUUAAAAUAUUUACAAGUUAUAGCAAAAUUUUGGAUUCUAUCAAUAGUUGUCUUCUAUUACUAUAACAUGUGAAUGACUAUUAAUGAUAGACUUUACUAUAGAUUGUAAGUAUUUUGUAAAAUUUGCUAUUUUUUAGAAUCUUCCUCGUAGUAAUUUGAUUUUUUUGGGUGCUAAGUUCAGUUUAUUUUGUUAUUUAUUCUAUUAUUUUAUAUGAUGUUUAAUUAAUUAUAAGCAUAAUUUAUGGCAUAUAAUUUAAAAUUCCACCGUAAAAUUAUAACUAUCAUGCGUAAUUCUUAAAUAUAAGUGUUAUAUUUUAGUUGUAUGAUUUUCUAAGUAUGUUCAUGCAUUUUUAUAUAUUAUAAAUGUUAUAAUAUAUGAUAUUAAUGCAUGAUUAUGAAUUUCAUGAGUUAUUUAAAGUAUGUUGAAUCUUAAAGGGAAAUUUUUAAAAAUAGCAAAUUUUACAAAAUAUUUACCACAUGUAACAAAUUAUAUUACUGAUAACCUUGAUAUGCUAUAGUGAUAGAAAAAUAUCAUGGAAAAAAUCCAAAAUUUUGCUAUAGCUUGUAAAUAUUUUAAUUUAUUUUGUUAUUUUUAAAAAUGUCCCAUUAAAUAUAUGAAAUAGAAUAAACAUGAUGCAUGACAUUAGUUAGUUAAAUAUAAUUUUUUUGUAUUUAAAUUAAUGUCUUCUGUAUGGUUGAUUGAUUUUAAUGUAUUAAUUUUUUUAAUAUAAAUGUUAUAUUAAUUAAGCUCAAAAUCAAUUUGUAUUGAACAAAUUACAACCUAGAUUAAUAUAAUUGUUAUAUAUAAUGUAAUGUCUUGCAUGCUCCAUGGUUUAUUUCUUAACUAAAAUUUGUUUUAAUUAAUUAAACCUUAGUAUGCAUAUUAUACGACUAAUUACUUAAUUUUAUAAUAGUUAUAACAUUUGAUAAUUAGAAACCGUCAACCUAUAAUAAAGAGUUGCAUGCAAACAUAGGCUCUCAUGAGUAAUUUGAUUUAAUUUUUAAAUUAUUUAAAAUUAAAUAGACGUAAGAUCAUAUUAAUUCAAUUCUAAUAAGAUUAGAAUUAUGUCUUAUUUUAGUUUAAUGAAACUAAUUAGGACAAAUAAGAUUUAAGGUUAUAAGGAAACUCCAUCGGUAAAGUUCUGUCUAAGGCUGGAGGUACUUAAGUUGACAGUUUACGACCUCCUACUUGAGAACUGGGUAGGACCAGACGUUGAAUUAACCUUAUUCCUAUUAAGCAUGAGAUGUUACUAGGUAAAUUAAAUGAUUUAAUACACCUAGAAACUUUAAGUGUAAAUAUGAUUUAAGACUAUAAGAGAAUUCCACUGGUAAAGUUAUGUCAAAGGAUGAGGGUACUUAAGUUGACAGUUUACAGAACACCUACCUGGAAACUGACCCAGAACCGACGUUGAAUUAACCUUAUUCCUAUUAAGCAUGAGAUGCCACUAGGUAAAUUAAAUGGUUUAAUAUACCUAGACACUUUAGAGUAAAGUUUUAUUAUAAGAGUUAUAGUAAGAAUAGACUUAGACAUAUUCAUUUAGCCGAAAUUUAGUGUAACGACUCAACUCCUUAUACUAAGUUGAGGUCAUUAUCACUAAAACAAAUAAAGACUUUUUUAUUUAAAUCAAAGAAAAUACUAAGUUUUAAAAGAAACACUUCAAAUAGUUAUUCAUAAAGUAUAAGUAAAGUAUGUAAAUAAAACAAUAAAUAAAAUAUUAGUUCGUGCCCUAUUUAAAAUAAAAAAAAUAUCUAAAAGUAAUCAUGAGUACUAAAAUAAAUUUAUGAAAAAUUUAAUAUUGAAAACAUAAAUGCAGAAGAAAAGAUAAACUGUCCCCUAUGGAAAACCACAUUGCUUCUUGUCAUUCAUUAGCUUGCCUUUACCUCUACCUUUGCUUGAAAAUUAAACAUAGAAAAGUGAGUAUAAAUUUAUACUGAGGAAGGGACUAACUACUAGUUCCACUACGUGUCAGUUAACUUUCUGUUAGUGUCCAGUAAGAAAGUACCACAUAUCUAUUGUGCUCCCGAACACACACUAUCCAGUGAUCCCGUAGGGACACAUCUGGGCUCUCGUUGAACAUGAAGGAAUCACCCUAAAGGAGAGUCAGGCUAUAAGUGAUUCUGUUAAAUCACACAUAAAAUCUAGCCACACAUGCAUAAAUAAGUGGUGAUCUUGAGGGAGACCCAAAUUGUACGACUUUAACAAGUAAAGCUAAGAGAACAUCAUAGCCUAUACAUAUAGCAUAACCUAAAUAUCAUAUCUCAAUCGUAAUGUAUCUCAACCAUAGUAUAUCUCAAUCAUAACAUAUCAUGGUCAUUACAUAUCUCAAUCAUACAUAACGAUUUUCUAUGUAGCUAUUGUUAUCUAACAUACUUAACAGUCACAUCACAGGCAUCAUAACUAUGUUAAUGCAUACUAAAGGAAAACAUAAUGUAAGGGUCUAAUAGUAGAAUCUCUUACCUGGAGAUUAGCUGAAAAAAUAUAGUUCCUUCUUGACAGUCAAUUUCCAAUUAAUUCAGUCCUAAACAUAAACAAAAUUAAAAUUAUUAAUUUUGUCAACCAUCAACCAACUAUUUAAUUAAGCAUCCAAACUUAUCCAAACUUACCUCAAGACUUAGGUUGAAUCCAACACAACCUUGAAUUGGAUUAUAUUAAACUUAUUGGCUAUGGAAGAAACUUUUAUUUGAAUAUGAUUCAAAUUUAAUUUAAGUUAAAUAUAAUAUAUUUAAUAGCUAUUAAUUAAUUGAAGAAUUAAUUAAUAGUUUAGUUUUAUUUUAUAUAAUUAAAUUAAAUUAAAUUAAUAUAAAACAAUGAGAUAUGGAAGUUAUAUUCAUUAAAUAAGAUUUAAAUGAAAUAUUAAUUAAAUAUGAUUUAAUUAAUUAUUAACUAAUUAAUUAAUGGUUAAUUAAUUAGUAUAUUUGAAAUUUUUAUUAAUUGAAUAUUUUUUAAAUUAAUAGAAUUCCAUGAUUCUAUCAUACUCCAUUUCCUACUCCAAGAAGGAAAGAGAGUUAUAAAAAUGUAGAAGAAAACAAUUUUAUUUAAUCAAUUAAUAAAGAAAAAAAAGUCAUUGCUUUUGGUCUUUGCAAAAAGAAAAUAGUUUCUGUCUAAAUAUUUUUGUCAUUCGAGUUAGUUUACACAAACCAAUUUCAUCCCAGAGGAUAGGAAUGUCUCCGAUGGAUGGUGUCCCAAUUUGAAGAUUUACUUUGUAGAUUUAGAGACAUAAACAAAUAAAUUUUUCUUUCUCUAAUAUAUAAUUGGAAAGCAUGCUUAGCUUUUAAGUCUUUAAUAAGAAAACUAGUUUCUUAAUUUUUUUGUCAAUGCACUGGUAUUUUGGGAUUCCCAAAUUAAUUGGAGAAAUGAUUAUGUAAAAUCUUUCACUGUCAUAGGGCUUUUAUCGCUUGAGUAAAUACAUAAAUAUUUAUAUACUUUACAUAAGCAUUAAGCAUUAUGCCUGUUUUACGUGGUUUUCAUGUCUAAACGCAGAAUUAAUAGAAAUGAAGAAACUAGUGAAGCAGAGACAUUUUGCAGAAGAACUACGCGAUGAGGACUCAUGUGGCGAUUAACGUCUCUAGGCGAGGAACCAUGUCAUCACGCGAGGAAGGCUCACUAGAGAACAAGAAUGGUAGUUGGAGUGAUGUGACCUUAGAGGACCGAAAUUAGUGCUGACAAUCUCAGAGGAGUAGAAGUUUUUCGCCUGAAGCUGUCUAUAAAAGAACACCACCCUCACCAUAAAGAAGGGACGCCUGAAUGGGCAAACCACAUAAAUGGGCGACAUGCUUGUGUGGGCACAAAGAGGUCCUACAUGGACAAAAACCUAGAGAGUUGGUGGCAAGGAUUAGCUUCACCACCAUGUGUACAACACUGUGUUACCUUUUCCAGCCAAAUUGUAACGAGAAAGCUUCAAGUGUGGGAGGAGAAGAGUCCAUCCUCCAUUUCUCUUAACUUGUAUUUCAUUUUCUUCCUCUUUCAAUUUUAUUAUUUCUUUACAAUGUAUUCAUUCAUAUUGUACAUUGACCAAAAACCUUCAUUCUUUAAUACAUUAUAUCUUUAUACCCUCUUUAAUCCAUCCAUGCCUCUAUUGUUCAUCUGUCUUUGUGUUAUUUAUAGUUUAAGUUUAUGAUUUGUUCACAAUAAGUAAUAUUUAUUUGUAUCGCUUAGUGUGUUAAUUGAGCUACAUUUUACAUUUGGUGAGUGUAUGUCGCCAACUACACGAGAGGAUGAGUAGCAAGGAUGUGGCUAACACACGGAAGGAAGAGUUUUCUCUACCUUGCGGAUGCCUUCCUUCAUUUGUAUGUCAAAUGGCAAACAAAUGUGGACAAUAGGCACUGCGAGGUUGCUGUCCUUAAAUGUGAAGCACUCUAAGUAAAAUAAAUAAGUAUUUCAAGAUAUAAAUCAUUUAGUCAAUCUUAGUCAUUUGGAAUUCAAAAGGAGAUCAAGUGUGGCAUUCAAUGACUCUGAGAGGAGCAUGCCUUAAUCAUAAGAUAGCUUGGUGGGUUAUAUUGCAUCAAGGUAGUGAUACAGCUUACUCGCCUGAUAGCUCGAGACCUUCCUUCACCUUUCUCUCGCAUACAAGUUAGUUCGCUCUAUCUUCCAUCUUGCUAUAAUUUAUUCUCUUGUGCAUGAGUCUCUAGGUGUAAGUAAAUAGUCUUAGUUCUUUUUUAAUAUUCUUUUAAAACCAAUAUUGUCAUGAUGCCUAAAUGAUAAGUAGAUCCUAAAACUAAUAUUUGGAACCAAUUUUCUGUCUUCGACCCUGGAUUACCCAGGUAAACCUACUGUUCGCUAGCACUUGGGUGAGCAGUAGGAAAACUUGUACUCAACAAGAACUUAGCUAUUACGCGAUGAAGAGGUACAUAUUGAGCAUUUCACAUGUUGUGCUUAUGACCCAUGACCUAUCGCAUAGAAGUGUGCGCACAAUACAUAAAGGUAAGGAGAGUAUUUUAAGUGAUGACCCUACUUCGUGACGUAUUGCAAUUGCACUAUACAGAGGCAAAACUACUAAGUCCUACUUUUACACCGUUAACUAAAUGGUGACGAAGUGGGAUGUACGUUGAACCAAUAUGUGUUAAUUUGACAUGAGUUGAUAAAUUAAUAGUAGAAAAAAAUGGUCAAUUAUUUUGGAUUAUGUUCUAUUUCAUUUUAGGUGAUAUGUUACUUUGAAUUGUUGUAGUUUACUUUUGAUUUAGCAUAGAGAAACUUGUUUUGGAUUAUGUUAAGGCAAUCUACUUAUAUUCUUUCUAUGUAGUGGUCAUUGGACACUUCUGGCUAUUAACGCAUACGAUGAGAUAGUUUAUUAUAUUGACUCACUUCGAACAACAUCGAGAGUAGAUAUUAGAUACGUAACUGACACGUAAGUAAGCUUUUUUAAUAUAUGAUGUUUACCGUCUUAAAGUUCACUUCAUGGCUAAAGUGUAGUUGUUUCUUGCAAAUAAGGCUAUUACUAUCUUUCACUCUCAGAAAAAUAUUCAAUCAAAUUGAAAACAGUCAAUAUGGAAAACAUUAAAGGUAAAGUGUAAACAUAUUUAUUUGUUAAUUAAAAGUAUACGGUAUAUGAGCUAUCUGCACCAUUAAAUAUAUAUUUUGGUAAUUUAUGUAUGUACAAUGUCCUUUGCAAGUUGGAGUAGUUGAAUGUGGGUACUAUGUGAUGAGAUACAUGAGAUAUAUAAUUACUAAUGGGAGCAUAGUAGUCACAGAUUUGGUAUGUUGUGUUUAAAUGAUUGUUUGAAUUAUUUUCUACAAUUUUCAAGUAAUCAAAGUAUUAAUUUUAAUAUUUUGGGUUUCAUAUCAGAUUGAUAUAAGGAGCUCAUAUAGUCAAUUCGAGUUAGAUGAAGUGCACGUGGAGCUUGCUGAUUUUUUGGGUGGCCACAUUUGAUUUUAUGGUGAUUAUAUAUUUUUUGGGUUAGAUAGACAAGUUUUGUUGAUACUGGAUAUAGGUGUGAUCGAUAUUUUGUUGAUAUACUUGAUAUAGCUAGGUUAAUUAGUUUAAUUGAUAUUUUGUUGAUACACUAUAGUUAGGCUACACAUAGAUGGAAAGUUUAGGUUGUUGUUAGAAAAGUAUAGGCUAACUACAUGUAUGUAUAUGGUUCAUUGAUAUAUGUUAAAAUAUUAUUAUAGUUCUUUGAUGGAAAAAGUUUACUUCAUUCAAUUGUUCAAUUAAUGUGUACUUUAGCACAUUUGUUCGUGUACUCUCUUGCUUUACUUAUAUACGUUCGACAUUGUUGAACUUCAAAACAUAUGCACGAUAAAUUAUGAAGAUAUUUUAAAAUAUAUAAUUUAAAAAAAAACUUGAUAUGCAAAACGUGUUAAGAGUAAAACAAACUCUGGACAUAUUGUAAGAAAUGUCAAUAAAUCUUAUAUAAUUGAUGUUUAUAAACUGUCAAGUAUAAUUCUACUUGACGCUUAAAAUCUGUUAAACAAAACCACUCUUGUUCUUGACACUUGAUUACUUGACGAAUAAAAAACAUAAAGUAAUCUCAUAUACUUGACGCUUUUUACUUGUCAAGUAAACUGACUUUACUUGACGCUUAAAAACUAUCAAGUAUACCUCCUUUAUUCUUGGCACUGGAUUACUUGACACAUUUAAAAGCAAUCAAGUAAAUAAAUACUUGACAGUUUUUAAGCAUCAAGUAAGGUCAGUUUUGUAGUAGUGCCAAUUUGCUCAAUUCUAACGUUGUAUGUAAUUAUUUGAUAAUUUUUUGUGCAAUAGCUACUAUCUUUCGUAUACAUUUAAUUCUUUAAACGACAACCCGACCUAAAAAUCGUUCUCUCAAUCCCUUAUAACACAACUAAUUAAAUAAUUAAAGUCAUCAUACAGUGGUUAUAUAUAAAUGAUAUACUUUUAUAAAUACAACACAUACAAGAUAAACACAAAUGAAAGCAACAUUUGAACAAUAAAAAACACCUAGUGUACUUUUCCCUUUUUUGCUACCCAAUAGCAUACACUAUUACAAGAAUUGAAUUCUCAAACAAGAUUAAAACAAUGAACAUUAAUUAAGAACCUCUUUUAUUUUUUAAUUCAAAGCAUAUGGGUCAAAGAAUCAGACGCUCAAAAAAGUAUCCAGCAAUACAUAAUAACUUUUCUUGUUAAAAUGAAAUGGAUAACCCUAAAACACUUUUGAAAAGUUUUGAACUUAUCUUAUACCACAAAACCUAAAGUAGAUGUUGAUACCACAAAAACUAGUAUAAAUAUAGAUCAACCAAAAGAAAGAAGCCCCAUCACAACAAAACUCUCUCUUAGCAAGCAUAAAUAUCAAAGAAGUGAUACGAAGAUGAGCAGCGACUCAAAGAAUGAUAAGUGGAUCCAAAUCCCUGAUACAAAAACACCUUGCGUGAUUGAUCUUGGAAAAUAUGCUGUGGAUGACUACAACAAAGCACACAAAGAUAACCUUGUAUUCAAAAAGGUUAUAAUCGGAUGGUAUUUGGAGAUAGAUUAUGAUAAAACAAAGCUUCGUCUUAUUAUUGAAGUAGUAAACAGUAAGGGAGAAGUAAUAAUAUACGAAGUAGUGAUUGUGGUAGAUGAUAAAGAUGGAAAAAAAGUGAAGACACCCAUUUCAUUUAUUCCUGGGUAUAUAGAUGAGGUGGAUCCAUGGUUAUUUUGGUUUAGAAUUAUUGAUAUUAACGACCCUCAUGUGCAACAGAUCGCCAAGUUUGCAGUGGAAAAGCAUAACCAGGAUAAUAAUGACAGUCUUGUUUACAUUUCCACAAUUGUAUGCUGGUAUCGUUUGUUGAGUCCAAUUUUAAAACAAUAUAAAGUUUAUCUUAAGGCCAAGGAUUGCUUGGGACGUGUGCGGGAUUACGAAGCUUUGGUUGAAGAAGAGAAGAAACUGCCUAAUGCGAUUCUGAAACUUAUAUAUUUCAAAGUUAUACCAAAGAAAUGUUGAAAACUUGCUACAUAUGUGGGUUUUGUUAUGUUAUGUGACGCCCUUGACUACAAAUAUAUAUAAAUAGUCAAGUGCCUUAAUAAAAUAAAGCUUUUUAAAAUAUAUAUUACAACUACAAGAAAACAUGCUGUUAUAGUGGUUUAUUUAGUCUAUAGUAAUGGUUUAUAAACGUUGCAACUCAUCUAUAGCAGCGGUCUCGCUGGCAAAACCGGUGUUGAGAGCUCAAUUGAAUGAUUCAUUUACUCAAUGCUGUGCCUUUUCUUUUUUCCUUUUUUAAAGUUUUAGUUCGAUUAACAAAGUUAUUUUAUGUCAUAACUAGUAGUAUCAUGAUCAAUUUACCUGGAAUGAAAACAAUAUUUGAUGUUUGGUUACAAAAUACGUUUCCUUCCUAAAUUUUAUCAACAAAGUAGCCAUUUACAUUAUUGACUUUAUUUUGUAAUGAUUUAGUACUUUAUUAGUCACAUUAAAGUAAAUUUUAUAAGAAAGAAAAAUUUACAAAGUAACAAAAGUUGGAUAUUUAAUUGAAAGAAAAUUUAUGUUAUGUUUAAUUACCUAAAUUAAACUAUAGUCAGAGGUGCCAAACAAAGCAAUUUGGGGUUAGUGGAUUAAGUAUAUAAUUUUUUUUAAAAGAAGAAAUAAAAUAAAAGAGAAAUGAGAAAAGGAAAAAGUGUUUGUUUAGGUUAUUUAUUCAUUUCUCCUCCAUUUCCAACAUUUUCUGUCCAAGGAAAGCAAAACCAAUAAACUAGCAGCAGUAGCAAGAGGAAAAUUUAGGAGAUUGGUGUGUUGGUGAAGAGGAUUUCUUGGUAGCAGUUUGGUGUGUUGGUGAUUUUGAGCUGUAGAAAUGGAAUUAGAUGCCAAAACUUGUCGGGUUAGAAAGUAAGUUCAAUUUCUAACAACUUUUAUGAAGCAUGCUUGAGCUGAAACUAAUGAAAAGUUGAUUCAAACUGAAGGAGACGAUAGACCCCUGGUUUACGCACGAAUUUGAGAAGUCUUUGAUGUUUUGAGUAGCCCGAAGUGUAAAAGUUAAAUUAAAAGCUCUAAUUGGUCAGAUUAUAAGUCUUAUUCAAUUUCCUACAAUUUCUAUUCAGAACAUUUGAGCUGAAAAUGAUUAGAAAUAGAUGAAAUUUCAGAAGGAAGCUGAAGGCUGUUUGAAAACGUGAAAUUGGAAUCGUCUCUGGUUUGGGGAAGUUCUAGGAAAACCCGUUAAGUUUUAGAUCUUCGUUUCUUCAGUUACAAUGUAGAGGAUUUGAAAAUGAAGAGUUUGGUAUAAAUUUUACUUAAUUUGGUUAAGAACUGAGUAAAUCAUGAGCUGCUGAAUUUAGAAUUGUGAAUAUGAAAAAUUUAGGCCAGAGUUGUGAGGAGUUUAAUUAUGUUUUUUAAGUUGGAAGUUGACAAUGAUAAAUUUUGUAUGCCAUAGUUUGUAUGUCAUGAAAUGACUAGGAGAACUUUGGAUUUUGAUACACGAAUAUAGUUUGUUUUGGCCAGGGAAGAGAAAAUAGAGCAAAUCUAUAGACUAAGGACCUAACCAAUAAAACGUCAGUGAUGAACAUGAGUUUUAAACAAAGUUCUAAAUUUGAUUUACUAAACAUGAGUUUUAAACAAAGUUCUAAAUUUGAUUUACUAAAUUAUAUUUAUAGCAUCCUUUGAGUUAAAGUAUUUUAAAUAUACUAGAUUUAUAAAUGAUUUACAAAGGGUGAGUUUCAAGUUUAGAAAUGAGUUAGAAACAAGCAUAUUUUAGCUGAGUUUACAAAGCAUUCAAGUUUGAGAAAUGUUUCUUUUCACAUGAGAUUUAUAAAUACACGUAGCUGAAUGUUGAUCAGUUUUUAAGAGUAUUAAGCAAAGUUAGAUUUAAAACUUGUUUGAUGCAAGAGAUUUAUACGAGCAUGCUACUUUAGUUGAAUUAAAAUUUGAUGUUUUAGUUUGUAUAUUUGAGAUCUACUGGGUCAUAGUAACUCAUACUUAAAGAAACUCAACAUUCAAAUAAUAAAUCUUAUAUUUAAAAGAAACAUUAAUCAAACUUUUAUAAACUCAACACAAACAUGCUUGCUCCUAACUCAUUUCCCACUUAUAAAUUUAGUAUAUUCAAAAUACUUUAACCCAGAGUAGGCUUUAAAUAUAAUUUAGCACAUCAAGUGUAGAAAUUCAUUUAAAACUCUUUUUUGUCAUUAACAAACUGUUGGUUAGGUAGUUGAUCUAUAGAUUUUUCCUAUUUCCUCUUCACGUGCCAAAACAAACCAAUUACCGGAUAUCAAAACCUGAAGUUUCUAGUUAUUUUCAACUUCCAACUUAAAGAACAUAAUUAAACUCAUCAUAACUUUAACCUAAAAUUUCAGUUUGACAGUUAUAACUUCAAUAGUUUAUACCCUUAGUUAUUAUAUACACAAAAUGAGUCAAGGCAACUAUGGGGUGAACGGACCACAUGGCGGUGAAAGGCUAACCAAUGUGGUUGUGUCAGUGGUCUGAGCAACAAGAAAUGAAUCAGUGGAAUUCCAGAAGAUGUUGAUGAUGAUGUAGUCAUCAAAGUAGUCUAUGGUAUGGGAGUGAUUCACGUCCUUCUUGGCGGAAGGAAUAGUGAAAACUAAUGUGUGUUUUAUGAAAUUGAGACGUUGAAGCCCGUUUUUAAUACAAUACCUUUGCAAAAAAAAAUGUUUAAAAAAAAUCACGAAGAAGAAGUUUAAAAUGGAGGGGAAGGAGAUAAAAAUUAAAAAAAUUACCUAUAGGUUUUCUUUUUCUUUAUUUUAUGUUAUAUUAUAUUUUAUUUUUCAUAAAGUCGUUUUUUUUUUCUUUUUUCAAUUUCUUUUCUUUUCUUUGUUUUUCUACAAAGUUAUUUGAUUUUUUUUGUAUGAAUAGCAAAAUAAUUUUAAAAAAAUUUAAAAUAUAGCAAAUAUAUAAAUAAACUAAAAAGAAUUUGAUGAAUUUUGAUAUAUUUUGUUGGUAGUUUUAAUAUUUUGGUAUUUUGUAAAAUGUUCAAAAAAAUUUAUUUUAGUUUUGAUUCCUAUUUUUUUGUAAAAGAUAUAAACCACAUAAUAGAAAUGCCUCGUAAUUUUUACUGUUUUUCAAAAAAAAAAUUCUAAGCAUAUUUGGGGUAUGACUUCUUCCAUUCAUCUCCAAUUUUGAUAAGAGCACAAGUAUACAAAAUUAUUAGUAUACAAAACUAAAAUUGUUAUCACUGCAACACUAAUUAAUUAAUUAAACUUAAAGAUCCAGCAUAAUCCGAGGCUAUAACUAUCACAAAAUUUACAAGCACACCUACCAUACUAUAUUACGUAUUAAAGUUGUGUGAUUAAAUUAUUACAAAUUAUAGGUACAAUAACUAAAUUGUUAUAACCCAAAAUUCAGACUUUCAUUUUAGGGACGAAAAUGGUUUUCAUCAGUAUUUUUCUCAAUUCAAAAACAUAUAUGGUCAAAGAGAAUCAUAUUCCCAUGCAAGUGGCCGGCCACAAGUAUAAUAACUUUUGUUGUAAAAUGAGAAUUGGGAUAACCCUAAAUUUUGUUUUUGAAAAGUUUAGUACUUAUCUUGUAAAAGGUAAAAGCAAAAUAUAUGUUGAUGCCAAAAACUAGUAUAAAUAUAGAGCAGCCGAAGGGGGAAAAAAGCACAUCACAACAAAAACUUUCUCUAAGAUAUCAAAGAAGAGAGAUAGCAAGAUGAGCUGUGAUUCCAAGAAGACGUGGAUCAAAAUCCCUGAUUGUACUACACCUUGUGUGAAUGAAGUUGCAAAAGAUGGUGUAAAUCAACACAACAAAGCGUCAGGAGAUAGCCUUGUUUACAAAAGGGUUAUUGUAGGCUGGUUUUGGGAGAUUGAUGAUCAUGCAAUAAAGCAUCGUUUGAUUAUUGAAGUAGUAACCAGCAAGGGAGUAGUGUUAAUAUAUGAAUUAAUAAUUGUGGUAGUACAAAAAGAUGGAAAAAGAGUGAGAACACUCAUUUCAUUCCUUCCUGGCUAUCUGGAUGAGAAGAAUCCAUUAAUAUUUUGGAUUAAGAUUCCUGAUGUUAAAAAAAGUUGUGUGCAAGACUGUGCAAAGUGGGCAGUGACUGAACAUAACAAGAUUACUCAUGAUUAUCUAGCAUAUGAUUCAACUGUUGAAGGUUGGUAUCAUGAGGUGAAUCCAUUUGUUAUAAUAUUUAAACUUCAUAUUAAGGCAAAGGAAUGCAUUGGACGUGUGAGGGACUAUAUUGCUGUGGUGAAGGAAGAAAAACCUCUCACUGAGAAAAUUAAGAAACUUGAAGACUUCUAUCUUAUCCGACCAAAGAAAUAAAAGUAGAAAAACUUGCUAUCUGUGCGGGUUUUUGUAUGUCAUGUUAUGUUUACGCCCUUGACUAUAACUAUAUAUAAAUAGCCAAGUGCUCAAUAAAAUAAAGCUUUUUUUAAAUAUAUAUUACUCUACCUAUGUCUAUGGUUUUUUUGUUAAUUUAUAUAUUUUCCUUUUGAAAUGGAAAUAUUGAAUGACGGAACUAACUAAUUGCCAGAUUCUAUGAACAAACACCUAAAAACGGCAUAGUGCUUUUGUUAAUAGCUGAACCAAAAUCUCCAUUGCCACACUGCAAAAAGCAAGUUAACUAGUUCCGGAAAUUGGCAAAAGUAAGCAUCCUCUUAGUUUUACUUUUAAAAGUAGCAUAUUCUUUUUUAAAUUUGUAAAACUAUUUUUCUUGGUCCAAUCUCGGGCGAAACUGACACCGAGAUUUUCGUACAAUUUUAAAAGUGUUCAACUUAACGAUUCUUUUACUUGUUCCGGUACAUCAAAGUAGCCCUUAGACGGAAAUUCUACCAUUUUUUAAGUCUUUUCAAAUCUUAUUUAAAUCUUUUAUCUUUUAAAAAGAUUCGUGGAUAUCGCGGAUACAAAAUUGUAUCGUGAAAGCACAAAUCUCUCCACGAGAGAGACAAAGACUUGAAUGGUCUACAACACGCUCUCUUUUUAGGGAUCCAUUCAAUAGGGGCAAGGUCAUUCUCCUCCUCUAAAGAUUAAUGUAACCCGUACUCAUACGGAUAUGUCAAUUGUGAUAGAUUUUGAAAAAGCAAAUGUCUUUGUUUCGAUAUUGAUAACAGUUAAAAGAAUGUCACGAAUUCGUAUAUUAUGACAUUUUUUCUCUGUCAAGAAUAGGACAAUCAUGACAGUUUUUAUAAAAUUGAACUGUCAUUGUUUCAAUAUUGACGACAGUUAUGAAAAUGCCACAAAUUAGUAUACUAUAACAUUUUUUUUCCUGUCAAGAAUAGUCCAAUCGUGACAAUUUUUAUAAAAUUAAAUUGUCAUUGUUUUUAUAUUGAUGACAGUAAAAAAAUGUUACAAAUUCGUAUACUAAAACAUUUUUCCAUGUUUUAUAUUUCUCAAUUCAUGUUUUUCUUGCCGCUCUGCUAUUACACUAACAAUUUCAAUAAUAAUAAUGUUCUAAUACAUCACUCCUAUAUGAAAACAAAGAGUCAAACUUUAAUAUAUAUACGUAAUUAUAUACUUUGUAAGAUUCGUACACCUGCUGACUAAUAUCACCUAUUGACUAAUAACCAUUUUUUGUUAAAAUGUAAUUUACAUAGAAAAAGAAUAAACAUUGACAUCUUUAGCUACGAAGAAGCCUAAAAUCAAUACAUUUGAACCAAGAGUUUGCUACCAACCAUACAAAAAGUGUUAUAUCAAUCAAUUGCUCGAAGUUGGCUUCACUGCUCCAAUAGAUUCUUCCAACCCUAGUAAGAAAACAAAAUCUCAUUUUAGAGUCUGACUAAAGAACAACCCAGCCCUUCAUUCCAGCCCUCUCCCAACGCAAUAAAAAAUAGUGAAAAUGGCACACACAAAACAUGUCUUUAGCCAAUAGGUCAUAAGUUAAUACUUCCAUUGAUUUAAGAUUGAAACAAAAGGAAACAAUAGUGAAAUUAUAGGAAAAUAACUAGCAUGUCCAAACUUUUGUGAUAACAUUUUCAGCCCCCUCCAAAAUAAAAAACAGUGAAAAUGACACACAUAAAACAUAUAUCCUUAGCCAAUAGAAAAAUUAAGAAAAAGACUAUCACAAUUGUAAGAUAGUCAUAACACUUUAACAUGUUUUUAGGCUCAAGAACUACUAGAACACUCCCAAAAAAGUAAAGUCCAAACUUGUACAUAUAGAGAACCUGAAAUUCUUUGAAUUAUACAAAACUUGUAAAUAUAGUGAAGAAAGUCCAAACCUGGAAUUCUUUGAAGCAGAUUAGAACUAAAAACCAAAUCACUCACGAAAAAUGCAAAGAACAUAACUCUCUUGAACCUUUGAAUUUCAAAAACUUGGAACAUGAAACUUAGAAAAACUUGGAAGUGAAUUUUUAUUUGAAGUUAGAAAAAGAAACAUUAAAGAUUAUUCACUAAAUAUUAUACUAAGACCAAAGAUAUUGAUCUCCAAGAACACUUUUUCAAUAUCAUUUAAUUUAAAUAAUUUUUAUAUACAAAAGCCAAAGCCAAAGCAACUGAUUCUUCACACUGCUUUUCUUUUUCAUUUGCCCACAACUCCACAUACAUAAAACACUCUCUCUUCCACUCCAUCUACAUUUUGAACCAACAACAACAAAAAAGGAUAAUGGAAAAAGAUGUACAUUUUAUCAACUGGAAAGCUAUGAACUAUAUAGAAAAAACACACUUCAAUCUAUAGAAAGUGUUAGAACCCUCACUUUCGGGUUGGGUCAUGGCAUUCUUUCCAUGCUUCAAAACUCUUUAGAAUCCGAAGAGCCCUGCCAUUAAAGCCCACUGAUCAGUAUCAAGAGAAUGUAGACUUUAAAUUUUACAUAAAAAGAAAAUUUAUAGUACCAAGAGUUCUAUAUUUUUGUUCUCCUUGGCUAAAGGUUUAUCUUAAUAAAUAUCUUACAUAAAUAAAAUUCUGAACCUAUUUUUAUGCGCAAAGAAGUAACAAGUUAGAGUAAGUUAGGGAAAUGGCAACCAUGCUAAUAAACACAACUAAAAUCAAAGUAGUCUAAAAACCAAGAAAUGGCUCCAAUUGAACAUUGAUCUUCAUUGCAACUCCAAUUAAACAAACUUUGUGAAAACACCUUAAUAAACCAUCAAGAACAAUAAAUCAAGAAGUGGAAAAAAUGUAAAAGACAACAAGUUAACAAAAAAAAAAAAUUUUAAACGCAUGGAGAAAAAACGUCUUAAAGAUUCCUCCAAGGACCAAAUUCAAUUAAACAACUCAAUUAAGAACAACGGUUCCCAAAAAAAACAAUCAAUUUCUUCACCAAACAAGUUCAAAUAGUAAAAUCUAAACACAGCCAGUUGACUAUAAACCCAAAUAAUUCAUCAGAUACAAAAACAUACACAUAAUAUUCCAAAAUAAAUAAAUAAGGGAAAAGAAAAAGAUGCAUACCAUGGAGUACUAGAGAGUUUUGAACUAAGAGUUCAACUUUUGUACUUUAGAAAGAUGUCAAAUGGUUAGGUUAAUUUUAAAAACUUAAAAACAAAAUAGCUACCAAAUCAAAGCUUAAAUCGAACUACUAGAACAUUUAUUCUACACCUCACAAAAUUUCUUAAAGAGAGGGAAUAUCAUUUCAUCAUUCACUACAACUUCAACAUGUCUCCUCACCAAAGUAAUCCACUAGAAAACAAUGGCAAAAAUUCAUCCACACAUUUUAAAGACUAAAGAUAAAUAUGUUAUUUUGCAAGUAAACAAAGAGGCUAAACCUCGAAAAAAAGAUUAGAGAAAUGGAAGAAAAGGGUUUAAGAUCCAGUGCAUUUGAAUAUAUGGGCCUUAAGAUCUCACAUAAAAAAAAUACUACAUGAGUUGAAAGAUAUUGAAAAUCUUGGUACAAGAAUCAUAUUAACAUGCAUAAGAAGAUAAGCUUUCUAUGAUCAUGCAUAAUUGAUGAAACAAUUUUGCACAUGAUGGAUUUGAUUGUAUUAGUUUAGGAUUUGACAAGUUUUCAUUUUCACAAAUGUGGGAGAGUAUUAUAGUAGUGUUGAAUUCACCUUAACUCAUAAAUUCAAGCAUUCAGAUUGUGAGAUAAUUUAAUAGUACAUACUAUACAUUUAUCUUAGACUUCUCAAACACAAGUCAUAUAAGCCAAAGUUUAAGUAAAAAAUCAACACAAGUCAUAUAAGCCAAAGUUUAAGUAAAAAAUCAAGAUGCAAAACAUAAACUAAGAAUAACUUAUCUCUAAAUAUUUCUACACUAUGAUAUAAUAUUGUCCAACUUCAAGCAUAACUCUUUUUUUUGCAAAACAUCUCAAAUAUGCUGGAGAGACGUAAGGUUAGAAGUAUAUUGUCAUGUCAAAGCAAAAGGGCACAAUGUAAGAAAGAAAAUUACAUGCCUUUCUCUUUUAUAUUCAACUUCGUCUCUUUGGUGCAUGAUACUCAGAGCUCUUCUCACCUGUCCAAAACAUUUAUAGCAUGUUGAUCAAUAAGUUUGAAUUUUGAGUACAUACAACUUUUCUUUAUUCCUCGUCUUUUUGUUGGAUCGGUAUGACAACCCUAGAGGGGGGUGAAUAGGGUUUAAAUAAACUUUUUGACAAAUAAAAAGUAAAAUCAACUAAUUAGAUAUUUUUUUAAUUUAAAUAAAGAACUUUGUAAACUUUGUUAAAUAACAAGAUUGAUAAAAAGAUAUGAAUUGAAGUAUGCAAUCAAACUCAACCAAUAAGAAUAUGUAACUAAAAUUGAAUUAAAAAAUAACUAGAAAAGAGUUAGAGAAGAAGACACCGUAAUUUUAUAGUGGUUCGGUUAAACUCAACCUACAUCCACUUUCCUAAGCACUUCUUGGGAUUUUGAUUGAAAAUUUCUUUUGACUCUUUCCACGGAUUUGAACCCAACCGAUUCUUGCUCUUUUUUCGGGUUCAAGAGCAAACCCGAUCCUUUCCACGGGUUAUGAUCCAACCGUUACAAUAUGUUGAAGUUUUUAAAUCACACAAAAGAAAACUGUCUAAAAGAGUGAGUAUACAAUUUGAAGCUCACAAAUUUAAUCCUCACAAUACAAUAAGAAGCUCUCAAGAAUAAGAUGAAAAGAAUAAAAAUUGAAAGCUUUAGAGAGAAUAACAAUGUUGGCUUUUUGCACUUUUUGAGGAUGGUAAAGAUUUAAUGAUCUUGUCUUUUAAAAUUUGGGAAAAGUGAAGUAUUUAAAAAGAGGGGAAAGAUAAAUUCAAAAUCAUUUUGGAUCAUUAGAUAUAAGUAAAAGAAAAAUGAAUGGUUGAGAUUUAAACUUAAUUAGGCGUUAGACACAAUACAAAUAAUAAUAUAAUAAUAUGUCUUUUCAAAAUAUUUUGUUUAAAAAGAAACCAAUAAAGCAACUUCACCAUCUUUUAAAAGAACUAGUCGUUAGACACAAGGAAAAAUAAUAAUAUUAAAGUCAUUUUCUUUUUAAAUUCAUUUUCUUUGUAAAAGCCAAUAAAACAUAACAAAAAGCAACAUUUGUUACUCCUUCAUUGCUCCAAGUGGCUUUCUCUAAUUGGUUCAAAUUGAAUGCUUGGUCGCCACGUCACCAUCUUGGGUAUUUUUCCGUUAAGCUUCUUUAGCAAUAUUUUCUUCAUUUGAACUUCGAUUUGGGUGAUUCAAGAGGCGUUAGAAUCAUUUUUCCAAGCUCUACGAUAUGGUCUAUUCAAAUUAAUAAAAUUGUCAAUAAAAAAAUCAGAUUUGUUAUCAUCAAAACAUAAAUUAAUUAAAUAAUUAAAAUAAAUUAAUUUGAGAUUAAGGGCAAAAAAGCCAACACUUUUAUCUCACCAAUAGUUUCUUCUAUCCACUGAAUCCAAAAGGUGCCUUGUGACUAUUUACUAAGCUUUUUAGUGCAAGAUGUCUUCCAUGCAUAAUAUCAUUAGCUUAAAUAUGCACACAGCAUACAGAGCUAUAAAUUUACUCAUAUUAACAUUGUCGUUAUUAUAGACUUGACAAACUUCAAAUUUAUUAAAAUAAAAAUAUGCUUUAAACAAAGCGUACCUUGAAAUUCCUUCAACCCUAUUAAAAAAACAGAUAAGUCCAACACUUUAACAAAUUUAUAGUGCAUAUUAUGUAUCUCAAUUGAUCACAACAAAAUAAGAUUGAACAAAUACCUAUGAGAUACCUUUUCAAUGUUGCAUAUUUUCAUAAAAGCUCGGAAAGAGGUUAUAAUACUUCUCUAGAAAAGCUCGGAUGUAAUAUAUUUAACUCUCCCCAUCUUUUCUCAUACAUCCUUCACAUAGAACAUACAAAUUAAGAAACUAUUCACUUCAUCAAAAGCAUGUCAACAACUAAAUUUCAGCUUUAAUGUCUAUAAACAUCUAAACAAAAAUGGACGUUGACAAUAAUUCAAUCUAUGAGACACUCUAAUCAAUCAACUAGUUAAUUUGUGGCAAAAAAAAAUGAAAUUCAAAUACCAAGUAACAGAAUCAACAAGUUUGAAUAGGAUGUCUGUCAAACAAAGAAGCAUUAGUUAAUCUUCCUAGAAACCCUUAUAACUUGCGAGAUUUAGAUCAUUUAACAAACUCAUCAACAACUUAUGCGUUAACACUUAAGAACCUAGCCACAUUUGUACUAACGAUCUUAAGUGCGGUGAACAAUACUCCAUAGUUCUCUAGAGUUUAAAUUCUUUCAAUCAACAACAUGGUAAUGGAAAUUCCAUAUCGAAACUAAUCGGGUAAUCACAAAACUUACUAAAAUCACCCAAUUUAUUACUAACACUUAUAAAGGUAGCCUUAAUCUUAACGAACAAUGCCUUAACGAUUUUCUGAUUUUCUACUUCGAAAACAAGCAUCCACCAACAUGGUUCAUUCAAAAAUAGCACUGAAAUUAAACGGAUACUCAAUACCCAAACCACAAGGCUUGAAACCUUACCCAAAUUCGUGUCAAAUGCCAAAGUUUUACUCCUUCUCGGCUAAAUAGUAGCUAAGUCCUUCCAAGAACUCCAAUUUAGCAUCCAAACUAUAUGGGUACUGAUUAAUUCAAGCUGAAACUCAACGGGUACUCAAGACUCACUCAAUAAAGUCUAGAAUCUCACCCAAGUUGUGCCAAAAUUCUCAAAUACGAUUUUUCGAAGGGCUGGAUAGCGGCUCAAAUACUUCUAAAACUCGAGUCUGGCAUCGAAAAGUAAUGGAUAAUGUUAAACUCAAAGUCAAAAAAUAAUGGGUAUUCAAAAUCGCCUAACAAAAUAACCCCAAAACACAAAAAUCUUACUCUAGAAGUUGAAUCUAAACGAAGAAACCAACGUUCCUCUUUCUUUUCCAUAUUUCUUUUUUUCAUCAUAUAGGGUUAGAAACCCUCAUCCUCAUGCGUGUAAGGCUGCAAAGAAACCAACAUGGCUUCACCUCCUCCAAGCAUCCCUUAAUUCCUGCACUAAAUAGAGGCCCAACAAAAGGAACUGCAACGACUUGGCUUGCCGCUGCUUAGGUUGGCAUAGAGGGAGCUUGCACGACUAGAAGAGAAAGAAAAGACUUGACUCGGGUUGGCUGGUGAUCAACUCACGAAUAAAUACACUCAGCUAAAAGUACCCUCAUUCGACUCAGAUCAAAAAGAAGGUUUUGCGAAGGGGAAACGAUGUUGCUUAGUGUUGGUUAUGCGCCUUGAGUCUGUUGUUUUCUAUGAAAUGAAUCUCUAUUUCAUUGAUAAUUUAGUAGAGUACAAACCUAUAUAUAACCAAAGAGAAAUACAGUUAAGAAAAUAAUAUCAGAAUAAUAUCUACCUAAAAAUAAUCUAAUUACUUUAAUAGAUCAGUCCAUGAACGAAGACAAAACGUUUAAUGAAGGGUCAGAUGACUUGCAAAGAACGGUGGUGGGAAACGCAUGAAUAUAGAUUUAGCUUGACAUUCGGUUGGGCUUGGGGUUCCAUUUGUCGAAUGGCUCGAAAUGUAGAAGACUUGGAGUGACAGACGACGUGAAAUGGAGAAAAUGAUUUGAUUGUUUGCCGCUAGAGUUUGGUGAAGAAGAAUGGAGAAAAUGAUUUGAUUGUUUGCACACGGAUUGAGGGGUUUGAAUUUAUAAUAUUAAUAAAUAAUAAUAAUAAAAAUAAAAACUAUUGUUAUUAUUAUUAAGAAAUUACAUCGAAUGACAAAAACAUUUAAAAAAAACUGAUCAUAACAUCUAUAUUUUGCAUAUCACGAAUAUGACAAAAUUAGUGAUAUCAGACGUUAAUUAUAGGACUAUCAGACGGUAAUUAUAGAGCUAUCAAACGGUAAUAAUAAGGUUAUUAGAGACUCAUCACUUUUAAAUUUGCUACUUUUGCAAAUUUAAAAAAUAUUGUGACAUGACUCUAUUAUCAUAAAUUUUUUUUGCUAUUUUUGGAAAAGACUCGUUAUUAUUAUUAUUAUUAAUUACUAUUUUUCCUUUUUCUAUUCCAAAAUAAUAAAUCUAGAAGUUUCUCUUUCCUCCUUAAUUUCAUCUAAUCAACUUUUCUCUCCUUAAUUAUUUAUCUUCCCACGAAUAAUUAUCUUUUCCUUGUAUAACCAUAUUUUCACCGUAUAAUUUUUAUUUACUUCAAAUAUAUAUAUAUAUAUAUAUAUAAUUAACCAUAAUUUUUUUAAAACCCAAAAAUUUAAUUCAACCAAUGACACACCACUUAAAUCAAUUCUUAACAACACCAAAAUUCUAAAUCCUCUGAUUAAUUAAAUAUUCAUCUAAAAAAUAUUUAAUUAAUUUCAAUUGCCACAAAUAAUUCUCAAUCAAUUAACUAAAACUUUACAUCCAAAUAAUUCCAAUAUAAUUAAUUAAAAUUAAGAUAACUAAAUUCAAAAUUUUCUUAAUUUUUUAAGUCUUACCAAUCACAUUCCAUUGCCAUGUUCACCUUGCUCCUCUAUCGCACAUAGUGUAAAUAUAUAGGAUACAUCAUACUAUUUAUAUCAUUUAUACGGUCAUAGAUACUGCAUGAUCAUAGAAUGCAUGAUUAGCCUACUAGAAUCAUUAAUUCUUCGUGUUCGAUCCUGGCUUACCAAGAAAACCUCUCUUUUCGUUUACGAUCAAACAAGAGCGAGGAAAACUUGUACUCAAAACGAUAAAUCAUUGUACUUAGCGACACUUAGGUAGGAAUAUGCUCCUUUUAUCGCAUGGACCUAAACUAGUUGCCAACUCUAGUCACGCAAUUAGAGCCUAAUUAGAAUGAAUUCACGAAAAACGCACAAGAAACGAUACUUACUAGGCUCUGCACUACGUUUUCUCAAAGGUUGAGAGCAGCAACAAAAGGGAGUGCAACGAUGCUACUUUUAGAGCAUAACUGAGAGACCCAAGUCUUGAAUAGAAGGGUUAUUUUUUAAGUAGGCAUUUUGAUGGUUCGUGUUGAAGCUAGGCGACACAAUGAAGAAAAUUGAAUUUAAGAGGAAGUAGGUGUUUUGGUGUUGCGACGCGAGAAGAGUAGGCGGUGAGAAUUAGGAAAAUUCGGAGGAAAUUCCUAAUCUUGAUUAGACAACUGAUGAUGUGUUGGGAUUAAGUUGAGCAUGAUUAAGAAAGCUAGUAAAUCUACACGUGUAAAAAUAUCAAGUAGAAGCUAGCAAGUUAUGAAGCGUUUAGGAAUGACUAAUUCGACUUUAUGAUUAAUAUAAAUAGGAUUGAAAGAUUUAAAGAAAGUGUUGUUAUUUUGAAGUUACCAAGAAGAAUUGCUAAGUGUUGAUAUGUUGAGGAAGCAUCAGGCGAGAGGAAAGAAACUUGGAGGACGUUCAGAGGAAGAAAAAUUAGUCUGUGAGUGAUUUUCUACAAGAAAGAAUAGUGUUUUAAAGUAUUCUUUCUAAGUCUUGUAUUGUUGUAACGCAUGUUAAUGUUUAUGGGAAAGCACAAAUGUUUUCUAAGUUAAAAUUUCAUGUUUGAUGAUUGUAUGAAUUGUAUGUAUGCAAGUAAACCAGUAGCUUUAUUCCUAUCAUAAGCUAGCUAUUAUGUGAACAUAAUGAGUCAAGACAACCAUGGAGUGAAAAGAUCACAUGGUGGUAAGAAGUUGACCAACGCAUUGAAAGGAGCAUAUUAAAUUAACAAUCUGACCAACAGGAAAUAAACUAGGAAAUUCGCCAGUGGACGUUGAUGAUGAUACGAUCAUUACAGUAGUCUAUACGUGAGGAUGGUUCAUAUUCUUGGCGAAAAGAAUAAGAGGAAACUAAUGUGUGUUUAUGUUUUCUAAAGAGGUAUUGUGAGCCUAUUUAUGAAAAUGAAGUUACUUAAUUGAAUUGUAUGCAUAAAAAAUGAUUUCUAAAACCUCAAUCACUAAGUAUUUGACUUAUGUAUUAAGUUUUCCUUCCACGGGUAUCAAGGCGUUGAGACCAGGUUAAAAAGGGUAAGGUGAGCAGGGUAAGCGUUUUAAGUGUGAAGUUGCGCUAAGCAUUGAAAGCCUUAUGCUAUAGUUCUUGUACUUAGAAAGCUUGUAUUAAGUAUUAUGUAUUGAAAUGCAUAUUGUUAGUUAAUAAAAAGAAGUUUGUUAAUCUAUCUUGUGUUGUGAAGUUUGUCGUCUAUUAGUAGUUUAAAGAUUCAAGUUGCAUUAUGAUUGAUUGUUGUGUUAAAUUUGUUUGCUAGGCAUUCAAUGUGUUAUCUUGUGAGGAGAUAUGCGUUGAGUGUCCAGGCGGUCAUGCCUCCACAUGAUCGCAUUGAGUGAUUUUGGGGCGGGGUGUGAUAGUAACAUUGCUCCAGAUUUUAGCGAACAAAGCGUAUGUGCCUCAUGACCAGAGUGCAAUUGUGCCUUUGUAGUGCAGCUAUGCUUUACCUGCUUUCUAUAUAUUUUCUUCUUCUUUUUUAGGUUAAAACGGAAUAAUUGUUGGGAAGCAUAAGGCCGACAAGUUCUUCGAAUUUUCUCUUUAUCCUCCCUCUUUCUAGCAUGUUAAGAGUAGAUUUUAGUUUUAUUUUGGGUUGUAGCUUAAGAAUUGGACUUUUCUUCCUUUUGUUUUCCUUUUGUUUAUGAGAAGUUGAUGUAAGUUUGAAUUUAGUUUUUGGCAGUAACAACCUUUUAUGUUCUCGAGAUUUUUGUUUCAUAUCCAUGUCAACUUCUAAAUGCACAAUUACGUUGUAGGCUAUCUCUGAUUAGCAUGUAUUGCUCUUGCUAAUCGAUUUAUGAUUUGUUGUAGGCUAUCUCUAAUUAGCAUGUAUCGCUCUUGCUAAUCGAUUUAUGACUUGUCACAUUCAUUCUAGGAUGUCUAGCUAUAUCUGAUUAUAUGUAGCAAUUAGUUAAGCUUUUGUUUUGUAGCUUAACUAGAAUGCCUGUUUUAAUUUGAGGUUCAAAGAUAAUCUGAUUAAUUGAAAUUAGGCUGAAUGCACAUAUUAGAGUCUCAUGUGAUUGCUUUUCGGACCUGAUAGAACUUAAGAUGUGUAGUUUAGUUAGGAUUUGCUUAAUUUUUAACUAAUAGUUAAGGCAUUCGUUCUAUUCAUUCUUAGCUAGUUAAACACUCAAUGCACGCAUAAAUCAAUUGCAUGUCCAAUUAACGGAAACCAAUGAUUGGAACUACAGAGGAAUCCUCUUAUCCCUCUUAUGCCAAAAAACAUAAAACAUUCCAUCAUAUGUUACAUUCUCGGGUUGCAGUUUAUUUUACACAUUGCACUUUUAUAUCUCUAUUCACUCCACCACCCCUAAUUUAUCUAGGGAUAACUUUCCUUUCUAGAUUGACAAAUAAAAGAAUGGAGAUUAAGAAAACAUUAAAGAAUAGUGGGAACAAAUUAUGGGAUAUGUAAAAGUGUAAAAUCUAGACGAUAGAUGGAAGGAAAUGAUAGAUCGAUUGUUAUUCAUAUACUAACGAUAUGGACUUUUCGUUCUAGAUAGAUAGUAGUAAUCUUACAAUAACGAUAAUAGAUUAUCUUUAAACCACUUUUGUUAUUCUUAAAUUUACUUGAAACGUCUUCAAUUAGACAAAAUAAAUUUAAUGUUAAUUUAACACUUUAAAUGCAAUAUUGAUGUUAUCAAAAUUGAUGUUGAAUGAUUAAGAACUUACUUAGAAGUGAGUUUCGUUAAAAUCAAUCCCCAACAUGCCAAAUCAUUAUGGUGUAAAUCAAUUUCAGUAAAUCGCUUAUAAACAUUUCUUUUUCUAGUAAAGUUUGUCAUUUCCCCCACUUGAUGCAUGGACUGAUAUGCAUCACGUUACUCCGUCAAUGCACCACAUGGCAAAAAAAAAAAAAGGAAAGUUUUGUAGGGUUGAAGUAAAUAAAACAUCAACGUUACUAAAUAAAAAGUAUCUUAUUCGUUUUAAUAUCAAUUUCUUAAAGAGUUCGAAGUUUAAAAACCACAUCAUACAUUUCCUAUUCUCACGUUUUCAAUACAUUUCAUUAAGAGGUAGAUUUAGCAUAGACGAUCCUAAUCCAUUUAUAAAUUUGAUUUUUCACAUCUUCGGAUGUUAAUAUUCUCAAUAGAAAAAAUAAAUUGUUUUUACAUUUUCUUCCAGUCUCUCUCAAGAAAUUACAUUCUGUAUAAAUCGUUUCUCAAUGUUAUCCAUUUAUUAGUUUCGUCUUUCCAAAAAAAAUCGAUGAAUUCAAUUUAGUCCCCAAUUUCCAGGUAAUUGAUCAAGUAUUUAGGAAUCAAAUUGAAAUAAUCCAAAGACGAAACUAAUGAAUGAGACUAAUGAUUUUGAAUCUAAAAUGAGAGAGAGAAGGGGCGUGUCAUACAUUUAAGCCAUCAAAACCACAUUGCUUGUAUGUGAGAGACUGCUUUCUUGGACUAAUCACAAUUGCACAAUCAACUGAAACCUAUACAGUUUCCCAAAAAGAAAAGAGCAAUGUAAAUAAUUGAAUGUGAUAUUAUAAACAAUAUAAUAUAGUAAUAUUAUGGUUAAAGGAAUAGGAAAUGAGGUGGGAAGAGAGAUUUGAUUCAAAAGUCACAUGGGGGGGGUAGGAACGAUCCGAAAGUUCCUUUCAUCAUACAUAAUGCAACUUUAGACUUUCAAAACUAGCUGUCAGCAUUGCUUCUCUCACUUCUUGUUUUUCCUUUUAAGUAUUAUAUAUAUAUACACACACACUAGAUGCAACAUCAACAAAUACAUACAUUAAUCUAAAAUUUCUAAACUGUGAUUCUUACAAUUUAUUUUGGUGGGAUCAGCAAUGUAAAGAUGAUUCUCUGUGUAAAUCUUGAAGCACUUAAAUUAGAUCAUUUGAAAUGACCUCUAGAAUUAUAAUUAUAAUGUUGCUCUAAAAAUCAUCUCAAACUGAAUUAUAAUGUUGCUCUAAAAAUCGUCUCAAACUGACUGUAACACCUAAAUUAAUCUAUAAAGAAAUUUAAGGUGCGUUCCAAUUACAUUUUAUAGAGAUUAAAUUAAAAUAUAAGUUUUCUUUUUUAAAUAAUGGAAUCUAUCUAAAAUAAAUUUUAAAAAGAAUGAGUUAGCGUGGUUUAGAAUAAACACUCCAAAUCAAUUUUUAGAAAAGUUAAUUUCUCUAAUUGUACAAAACACCCUAAUCGUCAUCUUUAGCUAUCCUUGCCAGCCAACCUUUGACAACCAUCUUCGUUGACUAUUGUUGGACAACGUUCAAUCACUGUAUCUAACAACUGUCGUCAGUAAACCUUCAAGCAUCGUUUUUCACGUGAUCGUCAACAUUCGUCUAACGUUUUUCCCACAACCACUUCUACCCAACAUUCGACUACUGCUUUCCAAUAAUUGUCACCGGCCAAGCUUCGGGUGACUGUUUUUUAGCAACCAUAGCAAAACAACUAUCGACCACGGUUGACCGUCAUGGACGAACCUCUAGUCAUUGUUUUCUGGGUACAGUUCUUCAUCAACUAUGAUGGUCAAGUUUCGUCUACUGUUUUUUCGUCAACCACCAACAAUUUCUUUCAAUCAUUGUCGACCAACUUCUAAAGAACAAUUUUUUAUGUCCACCACCUGUCAACUUCCAGUGAUUGUUUUACAACGACCUCCACUCAUUCUUUUGUCCUUGUUUUUCAACAACCGUUGUCAACAAACUUUUGACGGCAUCUUUUUAUGACCGUAAUCUGAUUAUUUUUGUUGGAAUACAAUCAAUCAUCAUCGACCAUCGCCAACCGCUAACAAUCAACUUUCGUGUACUAUUAUUUUUCGUUGUCACUGUGGGUCAACCUUCGAUAACUACUUUUAAGUGGUCGUUGUCCGUCAAUUUUUUGGCUACCAUUUUUUUAUGAUCGUCUUUGCUAAUAUUCGACAAUUGUUUCCCGAUGAUAGUUGUUGGUCAACCUCUGACAGCUACUUCCGUCAACCAUCGAUCUUCGUUUUCUGACAUUGCCAUCAGUCAUCCUUUGUCGACUAUGUUUAGACAAUCAUGGUAGACCAACUUUUGUCAAACAUUUUUUGGUAACAGUUGUCAACCAACUUUCGUCAAUUCAUUGUCGACAACUUUCGUGGACCAUUUUUUAGUGAUUAUUGCUAGCCAACUUCCGUCGACUAUUUUACGAUGAGCGUUGUCGGCUAACUUUCAUCAAACUUUUGUUGAUCGUUUUGGGUACCAUUGUCAGCCAACUUUCAUUGACUGUUUUUUGGUAUCUGUUGCCUAACAACUUUUGUUGACCACUUUUUAGUGACCAUUGCUAACCAACUUUUGUCGACUAUUUUUUAGUAAUUGUUACCAGCUAAGUUUCAUUAAAAAAAAAUUAGUUACAAUUGUUGGUCAACUUUGUUGACCAAUUUUUGGUAAUUGUUGUCGACCAACCUUUAUCAACUAUUUCUUGGUGACUGUUGCUAGUGAACAUUUAUCCAUUGUUAAUUGGUGACUGUUGUCGAUAAAUUUUUGUUGAUAGUUUUUCAAUGAUUGUUGUUAACCAACAUUUUUCGACCGUUCUUUGAUGAUCUUGCGGGUCAACUUUCGUCAACCAUUUUUCAAUGAUCGUUGUCGGCCAACUUUCAUCAACCCUUUAUUAUUGACGACCAAUUUUCGACGGCUGUUGUAGGUGAACAUUCAUUUGCAUAUAUCGGUGAUUGUUAUCAACCAAUUUUUGUAGACAGAUUUUCAAUAACAUUGUCACCCAACAUUCGUCCACUGUUGUUCGAUGACUGUUGUCAGCUAACUUUAGCCAACCGCUUUUCGACGAGCAUUAUGAACAUCAUGGGUCAACUUUCAUCGACCAUUUUUUAUGACCAUUGUCAGCCAACUUUCAUCGAUCAUUUUUCAAUAACAAUUGCUAACUAACUAUUGGCGACCAUUUUUCAGUGACCUUUGUCGACCAACUUUUUUCGACUGUUGUUUGGUAACCAUUAUCGGCUUACAUUUGUUGAUCGUGCUCGGUGACCAUUGCCUAUCGACUUGUUUUUUGGUGAGUAUUGUCAAUCAACUUUUGUCGACCAUUUUUCAAUGACCAUUACUAACCAAUUGCCAUCAACUGUUUUUCGAUGACUACUGUCGACUAACUUUAGACCGACUAUUGUCACCAACUUCUUGUUACCACUUUACAAUACUGUUGACGACCACCUCCACAAAAAAAAAAAAAAAAAAAAAAUCUUUUUUUAUAAUUUGAAAAUAUAAAAACACUUUAAACAUAAAAUAAAUCAAACACACUUUCACAUAAAAACACUUUAAAAAAAAUGUUCCAAAAUAAGGAAUUUUUAAAAGAAUAUUUAAAUAAAAAUACAUGAAAAACAUUUUCUUUUUCUAAAAUUAUUCGACACAAUCCCUUGGGUGUUACGAUUGAGAUAAUACUUUAACCUUUCAUCCAAUUACAAUGUAAAAAAUUAAGCUCCUAUGUCCAAAAAGCAAAAGAUAAACAUUAUCUAUUUUAUCCUUGGGUUUUAACUUUAAUUACCAUUUGAUUCAUAAGUUUCUAAAUGUUAGUUUAAAAAUCCACUUUUGUUUCAGUUUAAGGGAGUUUUCAAACUGUUAUAAUUUUAUCCUUGGAAAAUUUAGUUUCUUUCAAUUUUCUAUUUACAAUUUUAAACUCGAAUUUUCACUAAACUCCUAGUUCUUGUUUUGAAUGUCAAUAUCUAUAUAUAUAAAAAAAUUAUUUUACUCUUUUUCAUUGGUAAUUAAAAUUAAAUUAAAAAUUCAAUUCACAGUUCUUAAAGAUUAAAAUCUGAGUAUUCAGUUAAAAAUUAAAGUUAGAAGUGAAAUUUAAAAUCUAAAAAUAAAAAUCAAAUCUUCAAGAUAAAAUUACAAUAUUAUAAAAGUUAAUUUAAGUAUCGAAUAAAAUUAAAAAUAUUUAUGACCCAUAUAAUAAAAUAAAAAACGUGUUUCAUAAUUUAUUCAUUAUUCGUUUUCUCUCUCACCUUUAAAGUCAUUUUUCUCAUAAACACAAUAUUAUUUUCUUAUUCUUUUUUUAUUAUCAAUGACCGUUAUUAUUUUUUUUUUUUACUACAAAUAGACCACUACCGCUAAAAGAUUGAUUAGAUUGGGUACAAGACUAUAAGAUCAUUUAAAUUGGAUAAAAGGAAAUAUAAUGUACCAAGAUCGUUUAGACGGAGUACAAGGUCAUUAGACUGGAUACAAGGAUACGAGAUUGUUUUUGUAUGUGUGUAAAUUCUUAAUUACGGGGUACUUUUGUUAUUUAUCGUUGUAGGUUUAGACGAGAUUGUUGUUAUUUAUACUUUUGGGUGUUUUUUUUGUUCUAUUUUUUAAAAACCAAAAACUGGAACUAAAAAAUGCACCUAAAACAUACAUCAGUCUUCAGUUUUAUAUUAUUCACAAAACAAUUUGAACCCAAUGUCUGGAUCCAAUAGAAGCGAUAUUCAGUGGAAGCUAAUCGGAUAUCUUUAACUUGAAACAAUUAGGAAAAAUAAAUAAGUGAUAGUGCGUUCGGAAAAAUGGGCGUGAAAGUAAAGCAAAAACGAAAGAAAAGGAUGCAAACUACUGUUGUCGCUUUCCCUCUAUUUUUCGACUUUCUUCAUUUAUAUACUCAUCCAAUUAUAAACAAAAAUCCUUUUGCAACUCAAUUUCUGUCCCUAACCAAAAUAAAAAAAGUUCUGAAAUAUGUAUAUAUGAAUAUAUACACAAAAGUUCUCUGAAAUUUUAAAACAACAAAAACAAUGAAAUACACCAAUCAGACGGUCCAUAUCAGAUCCAUCCAAAUCCUUAACUCCCAAGUAUACCCACUUAAGAAGGACAAAAUAGAAAAAGAGUUUUUGCUAAAAAAAAAACAACGAAUACAACCAUAAAAUUCAAAGGUUAUCUCCCAAGGAGGUUUUUGACAACACUUUUUGUUUCUUUUUUGAACUUGGGAAAACUAAUUAGCAAAGAUCCCUCAAGGUCAGUGAGUUUCGAGUUCAAUCUUCUUGAAUUGUUUCUGUUGUUGCAUUUUGGAAUUACAGUGCUCUAGUACCAUAUUAAAUAAAACGAGUUUCCAUAGGGGAAAAUUUUCAAUGUAGGAUGACCACCUAAGGGUUUUCUAGUUUUUACUCAUAAUUGUGCAUUUAGAAUUAAGGAAAAGAGCAUUAAAAUUAAUUUCGAAGAGUUGAUUAAAAAAGAAAGAAAAGGAACCAAGAGAAGGAUAUGCGUGAAAUGAGGAAAUUACAUGGAAGUUCCUAAAAAAGCAGAGAGAAAGUAGAGAUGAGAAGUACCUGAACGCCGGGGGAAUUGAAGGACAAGAGGCGGAUCUUAGCAGCAACAUCACCGAGUAUUCUCAGCUCAACACGGUCGUUCAAGGAGGCGUCACGGAUCAAAUCGGCAGCGUCAGCUUGAAGGAGAUUAACGCGAUCCACAGCGAUGGUGGCAUCCACCUGGCGCUGGCUGUGAGGGUCUUGAAAGAAUCCCGGAACGGAGGCUCUCCCAAGUGGAAUUCCUCUGUACAUGACCGUGAACCGGGAUUCCUCGUACUUGAUUCCAACUUUAUUAGGGUUAACAGCUGUGAAAAUCAUCCGAAUGUUGAGGGAAAGAGAGGCGGUGGUGGGAUUGGGAUUGGUUAUGCCCACGUACUGGACCUUCACUUGCUGGAGAUCGAAUUGGGGUUUCUUGGGUUUGAGGGCGAGGACGACAACGAGGACGAUGGCGAGGACUAAGAGGGCGAGGAAGGAGAAAAGGAGGAAGAGGCAGCAGCAGCAGCCUUUGAAAGUGGCGGAGGAGGAGGAGGAUCUGGGAUUGUAGCGAGGGUGGACCCCGUUUGGGACAGUUCUUGAUGAUGAAGACAUCGCUCUUUGAUUUUGAAAUUUUAGAAGGGAUGGGAUUGUUGGUGGUGCUGCUGCUUGCCUGUUGGGAGUGUGAGUGUGAGUGUGAGACAGAGAUUGUGUUGUUGUGUAGCAGUUGGCAGUAGCAGCGCUCCCCCACCGAGUGCCUUCCUCUUCGCUGCCUCAUUUCUAGGCUCCCACUCGCAUUACCCUCUUUUUUCCCAUCGCUUUCUCUCUCUCUCUCCUGCAUCUUCUUUUUGCCAUUAUUAUUUUGAUGGGCUAAAUUAAAGAAAAUGACCUAAAACUUCCAUCAAACUUGCUUACUUCUAAUGUGAAAUUGAAGUGCACACAAAUGCACAACAAAAACACUAACAAUGUGUCUGGACAGGUAAAGAGUUAUGGAAAUAGGAUUACGAUAAUUCUAGUGUUAUGAUAAUAGAAUAUUAUUUUUAUAGUGUUAUGGUAACGUGUGUUGGGAAAGGAAUAUGAAAUGUAGUAUUAUGAUAGCAUAUGUUUGGAAAUGAUCAUGAUAGUAGUGUUAUAAUAAUAUGUGUUUGGAGAAAUGAUUAUUACUAUAGUAUUAUUACAAUGUGUUUGAGGAAGGAUUAUUGUUGUAUUAUUAUUAUAACAUAUGUUUGGUGAAAGUGAUACGAGUGUAGUAUUAUGAUAAUACGCAUUUGGGGCAAAGAUUAUGUUAAUGGAUUUAGGAUAAAUUUUUUUAUUUAAAUAAGGAAUAUUAAUAUAUGAAUUAAAAAAUAUCAUAGAUUUUAAAAAAAAAUAAACAAUAUUAAUUUAUGUAAUUAUAAUAAACCAAUUUUUUAUUUCCAUACAUUUUCAAAUAUUCUUCUUAUGUACCCAAAAUUGUUACGUUCAGACCCAUUUCAUUUCAUUUUUCCUUGACGUAUAUGCAAUUGGAAAAUAAUAGUCUCUUGAUUAAAAAUAGUUUUUCAAAUGACUUUUGUGUUCAUUGAUUUUAGGUAACUUACUAAGAAUCCUAAAAAGUGAUUAUUGUUUUACGUAAAAAAGAAUGAAAAACCUAUAAUUUAUAACAUUUUAAUAACUUGUAAAAAACUCUAUUGAGGUUCUAACCGUUCACCUAACCUUGAUUUUUGUCUCCCUAUUGUGUUUAAUUUCUAUAUCGGUUAUGAAAACACAAUUAGUUUAUGAAGUUUAAGGGAUUUUUUUUUUUUUUUUUUUUUUUUUUUGCAACCAUCGCAACUUAGUAAGAAUCCUAAAAAAUUGUUUUAUGUAUAGGUUGUUCGAAAUGUCAAAACAACUACACGUGACCUCGAUUUUUUUUAUUAGAACAGUAGCUGAUGAAUGAAAAUGAUAGUGCAAUAGUAGAGACAUGGUUUGUGUAAUAUGCAAAUUAAUCAAUAAACAAAACUAUUAUUCAAUAUAGUAAGGAAAUUACGGUUUACAUAAUGACGUAUAGCAAGCGUUUAAUAAACAAACAUUAAGACGAAGGAAACAAAUGAAUUUAUUACAAAAUUCAAUUAACUAGACCACAAAUAGAUCGGCUUGAUAAAUGAAUGAGGUUUAUAGCCGUAGUACCUCCUUUACGAAUGGUAUAAGUGCGACAACCUGAAAAUACACACACAAAAAAAUUGCAUUACGUAAUGUAAAAGGAACUAAAUAUGUGUACUAAACAUACCUUAACCGCAAAAAGAACCUUACAAAUUCAUGUAACUGUACAAUAAAUAACAUAAGCAUUAAUACAUAAAGAAAGGGAAAGAAAGUAGCCUCAGAGUUAAGAAAUUCCUGCAAAGGCAUUCAAGAAGAAUGCAUUUGCCAUAGAAAUUCGUGUGGUGGACUCGAUUACAUCAUAUGUAAAAGCAAAGCAAGCAAAGAGAGUCAGAAAACCGAUAUCAUUCAAAAGAGCAAGGGAGACAUGGUGACAAAACAAUGGGUUAUAAAGAAUUUGAUACAGUGGCUAAAAUGGCAUCACAUUGUUGACAUAAAAAUAGGAUGCUAGAAGAAUAGACAGUGUAGUGUUAUCAUAAACCAAGAGGCAGUAACCAUAAUUUAAUGCAACCAUGGAAACAAAAAAAAAAACAAGUGAAACAAAUCCAUAUAUGUGAGGAACAUGAGGAACACGGAGUGAAACAAAAAAAAACAAGUGAAACAGGUUUGUUUAAAUAAUAAUAAGGCAAUAAACAAAUGGAAUGAAUCACAAAAUUCAUUUAGAUGCAGUAAACAUAACAUGGAAUGGGGGUGCAAGACAAAAUGGAUCACAUAGGGAGGCAAACCAAAAUCAUACAUGUGAGGAACAUAGAGUCAGGAACACCAAAACAAAUUGAUGAACGAACCAUUGGAAAAAAAAAAAAAAUUGAACCAAAGUUUUCAUACUUCAGAGAGUGUCCAACAUUAAACUCAUCACUGGCAAUGGAAAAACAAAUGUAUUGUAGACCCAAAAAAAUGUACAAACAUGAAAAAAGCAUCAGGGAGUGACCACCAAUUUACUCAUCAUUUGCCACACAUACCUUCAGUGUUGACCGACGACCCCUACCAUGCUCCAUCGUGCCCCUACUUGACUUUCGUUCAACAUAUUAGUGUAGCAUCUGUGACAUUAAUGGACGUUUGGUCGAAACAAAAGAGCAGUGAACUCGUUCUCAAACCGACAAGGGUUGAGGAGCGGCAAGGUAGGUUUCAUUGGCAAAUCAAACAUAUGGAAAGAUGGAGAGAGGAUGAGAAACGUUUCGGAGGUAACACACGUUUGUGUGGCAAUCAAUCAACGAAAUGCAUCGAAGAGAGGAUGAGAACCGUUUCGAAGGUAGCAUCAAAAUGCAACCGUCACAAAAAAAAUAGGUUUCAUCGGUAGGAACAUAAAAUCGAAAAAAGUAAGGCAAAAAUUGAAGACGAACAGAACUUGUAUAUCGUCGAAAAUGGGAGGGAAGGAAAUACAUUUCCUUUCAUUUUCAGUUUACAGUGAGGAGGAAAAGGAAGAAGACAAUGGAAAAUUAGAAAGAUAAUUAGAGGAAAAGGGAAGAAAAUCAAACGAAAAUCAAACAAAAAUCAGAAGAAAAUGGGGGAAAAACAAUAGGAGAAGUAGGAUUAAAUGGGGAUUAGGAUCAUAACCCUUGGGCCUUGGGCCAACACGGUUUGGCCCAAUUUCCUUUUCCUUUUCCCCCUAAAUUCCUACCCCAAACAUACUCUAAAGGAUAAAAAGACAUGCUAGCACAAGCGGAUUGAAUUAAAAUUCUCUAAUUGCUCUUAAUUUUAUGGAUUACAUGCUUUAGAAAAGGGAAGAAAUAGAGAUUUUGAUAAACUCACCUUUCAAGCUCGAACUAUCUUUUGAUUGAUGUUGAAGUUGAUCACGAACGAGAUGUAGACCACCACGAGAGUCAUCCCAACUAUCAUCCCACCUUAGGACAUAUGAUGGAAUCCUAAAGGCCUAUUUGAUAACGUUCUCGUUUGUGAUUCUUUAUUUCUAAUUUCCUGUUUCAUGUUUAUUAAAUUUUAACAACUAGAAACUUGAAUAUAUUUGGUAACUAUUUUUAUUUAUUGUUUCUUGAAAAAAAAAACCAUAAACAUAAC